GUACUUUCUUCAUUCAUAUCUGCUGAUAGAUAUCUCUUCCUCUGUCACUUGACACGCACUCACAUGCUUGAUUUGCCAUGCACGUGAAUGACAAUGAAGACUUUGUAGCUUUGCCAUUUGUUUUAUUACUACUACCAUCAAUGAUCAAUCAGCCGAGAGAACUUAAAAAUAAGUGCAACUAUGGAAUUUUAUGAAGCACAGCUAUUAUUUACUCAUUAGAGCCUCAACGCAGCGCUACCCACACAGCAUAACAUAACAUAACAUACGCUGGUUGGUCCCUUCUCGUGACUGACCGACCCAUCUCUACUCUGUUUCUUUCAUCUCCCUCAGAUUUCAGACAAAACUUCUCAACUGUUCUUCUUCAUCUAACCUUCUAUUAUAAUUCAUCAGUCUUUGAUUGAACUCCUCCUCUUAUAUAUAUAUAGAUAUAUGCCUUUUUCUCCAGUAUGGUGGGACCAUGGUGGUGGGACGGAUCAUGGAUGGGAGGGCUUCCGCGUUUUCAAGUGCCUCAUCAUCAGUUGUACAAUAAAUGCAUAUUAAUACAUGAGAAAUACCGCAGCGUUUUCAAGUGCCUCAUCAUCAGUUGUACAAUAAAUGCAUAUUAAUACAUGAGAAAUACCGCACUAUAUACGGUAAGUCCUAAAUGAACAUGUAUCUCUCUUGCAAUUGGACCACCAUAUCAAAAUAUAUUUAGCAAGUUGUUGCCCAUUGGUCAUCCCCUAUAAAAUAAAAGUUCAGUUCGAUUCGAUUCGAUGGUGGCUAAUCUUAGAGCUCCUCCAUCCAUUGGUGGUCCGGAUAUAUCCGUAAUUUGCGGGUUAACUUUGAACCUCUUAUAUAUAUAUCCCGUCCCAGCUCAACUGUCACAUAAAUAAAAUUUACGUACAGAUAUGCUUUACUACUAAGACCUAUACAAGACUUGAGAGUUGGAUGGUAGCACGAACUGGGAUUUUUUUCCUUCUGUAGUAUUGGAAUUUAAGACAUUCGAAUUUCUGUUUUAAUUGUGAGAAAUUAAUUCCUAGUCAUUUUGCAGUGUAUAUAUUUUUUUUCAAAAAAAAAAAAAAAAGAAACUGUGUGAUAUAUAUAUAUAUAUAUAUUAUAUAGAGUAGACUGGAUUCUCCAUGGGAAGUAGAGCCAGCGGCUUCAAGUCAAGAUAGAUGGGAACACUGGCUGUUAAUGUCUGUUCAGAAAAUGGACCACCAGACUGAUAAGAAUUCAGAAUAGUUGGGACAUUUAGGUAAUCGACGGAUUCUGAUGAAUACAAAAAUCUGCUCACUGAAAAUUCAUCACUUUGUGGAGGGCCUCCCCCUAGUUUGUUUCAAACAAUUCGGUUGAUAAUUGUGGCUCCUAAAGUUACAAAGCAAACUAUUCCCUUGUUUAUCACUUUGCUAGACGUGGCAUCUUUGGCUUGGACCUGGUCAGUUGGAGCCAUUGCUGAAAAUUUGCUGAUUAGAUUGAUAUUCACAAUUCACAAAUCAUCAUCUCAUCUGGUUGGUAGAAGAGCAAGUGCUGAUUAGGAUGAAUUAUAAAUUAGGGAUCGGAUCAUCAAAUCAUCUGUGAUGUCACGCUGGACAGAAUACCACAAAAGCUAUAUAUAUUCUAUGAAUUGUACAUGGACUUGUUAGGCAAUCAAACAGCCCACGCAUUAUUUAAUGAAAUCAGACAAAACCGCUUGAGAUUUAUUUAAUGAAAACAUCGAGGAGACCAUCAAUAGGACGAGACAUGGUACGUAAUUUAAUUACAAGCAUUAUAGUACAGUUUCCAUGUACACGUGAAGUGAAGUGCUCUGUAUAUAUUGAAAUCGUACAAAUUAAUUAAGGUUGUGUUGUAAUACUACUGAGAAUACGUAGAAAAUACUGAUAUAGUCAAGUUAAAUACGAUCGAGUACCAAGUUGAUCCAAUUUAAAAGUAAACAGGCGCAUGAUGAAGAUGAACUUCCUUCUCUUGUAGAUUGGAAUAGGAAAAAAGAUGACAACUUUUCAGGUUUUAUGCAAUGGGAAGACAUUUAAUUAGGCGGACCAUAAUGUCUGUAAUGAGUUGUGAAAGAGAAACUUUAGAUCAACUGCUUUUCGAAUUUAGAACUUUUUUUUUUUUUUUUUUUUGUCGCUGGGUAUCGGUCACUCCGGACUGGUAAUACCGUCUGUGCCACUAUUCCCAUCGCCCGGGGAGAGCGGGCCCCACCGAUCCCCGAGAGUAUCACCCCGGACACUCAGCCUUGGGGUCGAACCCCAGACCUGUCUCACCUAAUGAGGCUACACAAGCCAGCUGAGCUGCUUUUCGAAUUUAGAACUUGAUCAAAAAUUUCAAUACUUCAACUAUUCAUGUACAAUGACACGUGUUUUUUUAAUCACCAUUUUCUACAGAAUGGGUUUUUUUUUUUUUUUUAACAAAAAAAAAAAAAGAAGGACUCAGUAGUGCUCAGUCAAAAUCUUCUGAUUGAUCAUUUGCUUCACUCAGUGUCUUGUAAAAUACUCUCCCAAUCAAAUGUAGAGGAUGGCCAGCAACAACUACAUAAAUUAAAUGUGGAUGCUUGGGAGAGCUGUAGGGUAAUUUGCUUAGUCUCUCUCUUUUUUUUUUUUUUUAAUUAGGAAAAAAGAAAAGAAAAGAAAACAAAUGUGACCCAAAUUCUUCUUGCCCAAAAGGUAAAACAAAAGAUAACAAGGCUAGUUUCAAUAAUGUCCCAAAUUUCUUAUCAUUCCUCCUCAGCCAAGAUGCUGGCUAAGGGAGAAUCCUAAGUAGUCUAUGAAAACAAAAAUACUUUUCUUUCCUUAUGGGAACAUUGUAGGGUAUUGACGGACGUAGAAGGAGCUCAUUGGCGAUUCCCCAACUCUUUUUGCAGGUGAAUUUCAACUUUUCGUGGCCAUGACAAUAACAGACAGGACCCUGGGAUUUCAGCUUUUGAACCUUAUUUCUGGUUGUAAAAUACUAAAACCAUGCUCGUGGGGUUCGUCUAAAAGGCAAUAUAGAUAGGUCCGUGGAGUUAAAAGCUUCAAAAGUUGGAAUGAUUCUGAGUUUGCUGAUGCAGCUUAGAUUUUAUGCUGAAUGCGAGACAGCAACACUCUCAAUUUCCCGGACAACCCAAGUGUCCCCAUUUCCAGCGCCAAAAUUUGGCUAACAUGCCACAAAAGCAAAGAAUACGGAUUCCUAUAUAUUUUUUCAACAAGACAAAUUUUAGUUUUCUUUCUGAGGAUGCAACAUGCUUAGUUCUAUUUAUUUUCGCACAAUAUAUAGACAGUAAAGUAAACUACGCCACACCUAUUGCUGAUAGUGUGAAGAAGAUUGCAUUAUUGAUCAUCAAAAGCAAGAGAAGACAGAGAUAUUUGAGAUGGGUUUAGGAGGAAAUACAGAUUGCUGUAACACAAGCAUCAAAAUGCCCAAACUUUUCUAGCUAUUUUGCACAGUCUUGCAUUUACUUGAUAAAAGUCAUCACGUAGCUUUGGUUUGGUCAAUUUUUAAGGCAAACAAACAAGGGAGAAUUGAAAAGCUGCCUUUGGCAACUCGCAUUUUUCUCGUUGGAUGCUUUGUUUGCAUCAAAAGAAGCUGAAAGGAGAAAAUUGAAAGGAAGGGGGCUCCCUCGAGGGAGCGUGGUUGCAGUUUUUGUUCUUUAUUGCUUUCUCAUAGUGCCUGGACCUCCAUUUCAAAGAGUGGAGACAAAAGAGUCACCUAUCUAAUGAUCAACCAACCUAUAUCCGCCUCACUAAUUAGAGUCUUUUAUGCUCUACAAUGUAUCUUGUCAUAGUCAGAAAAGGAAAUCACGAAGCCUUUUCUGCUAGAUUAUUUUUUGAAAGUAGGCAGCUUUGAUCGAGAAUAUGACAUAAUUUUCUAUAUCUUUGCUUGUUCAUGGGGCUAAGCAGACCGAUAAUGAUUGGUUAAAUCCAAGGAAAAUGAUAAAGCUAGUAUUACCAGUUCUUCAGUUGGACCUAUCGAAAGAAAUGAAAGAUGAUGCGCUGCUCAGCCGAAAGCUAAUAUGAACAGUGGCAUCAUGCAAAUUCAAUGAACAUUUUCUAGGCUUGCCUAAUUGUGGCCGGAAAUAGUGACAUUGCUACGUAGUUAAUCAGGAUUCCUCAAAUUGAGUUUGAAAAUUUGUCGCGUAAAUCCACCGCAUUCCCAUCUAGAGUCAGAGUAUUAGUAUGCUGAGCGAAUUCACCAACAAGCAAUGUCACAUUUUCCUUUACUUUCAAGCAAUAUCACUACAACAAGUUAACGAGUCCUCUGAGAAAAAAGGGAGUCAAACUCUGAAAUCUUGAUGGUAGGACUCGUUAACUUGGUUAUGAUAAUAUUGGUGAAGUCUCGUAGGUCACAAUAUGUCGCAAACAUGCUGCAAUUUACCAUCGCUACACAUCCCGAAAAAAAAAAAGACUCCAUGCCUUCCUCUUUUGAUUAAGAAAACAAAAAAGUAAAAAAAUUUUUUUUUUUUUAAAAAAAAUCAAGAUAAGAAAGAAAGGUCUAAAAAUGGCUGAAAGGCCUUUACAGAAAUCCAUUUUAGUGCAAGCCACAUCAAAAUCCCACCAUAAAGCAAGAAAGAAAAGUUUGAUGGAGAAAUUGUUGGAACUUAAUUAAUUUGCAAUGUCGUGGUCUAGCAUAUGCACUAUUCCAACUAUAGCGAUUAGAGAUAGUUUAAAGAAGAAUGUGGAAGAAGGAUUAUCAGUUUGCAUGAUUGAAACUCGUGUUAAAGAGUAUGACCAAAUACUUUUACAACGUGAUUUUAUCACUUGUCCUUAGUCUAUAACAAAGCAAGACGGAAAGAAACAGUAUUAGCGCGUGAUUAUAUUACUAGUACUACACGAAUGCCUCCCCUCCCCAAUUGCUUUUUGCAGUGGCCAAUGUUGAUUAGGACUAGAAAAAACCUAACCUUUUCACAUUACUUUACGAGCAAAUUAUCCAGGAACAUAAUCCUCUUCUUGUUCCCUUAGAUUUUAAUUGUUCUCUCAACUUUCUUGAUUCAUACACUAAUUGUCUGGGCUCCUGUUUUGCUUUUCAAUGCAUGCAACUAAUUUUCUUAUUCACGAAAGAUGUGUACUUUGUCGCGCUGGAAAUUUAAAAAAUGGCGACAUCUUGCAUUUUCUAAGAAGCGUCCCAACUUCAAGGGAAAUCAUGCAGUUCUAUAUUAUUGAGACUGCAAAUCCUGAGCCUAAAAGAUUAUAUUACCUUGUGCACUUUAUCUGAAGCACGAAGUUUCGCGCUUGUUAUUUAGCACCUUAGGAACUUGUCUUCUUCGAUGUCAACAGCAACAUUUCGCAGGAAAUGUGGGUUAGCAAUAGCGCCUCUUCUCACUGUUUUAUACUAUUUGAUAACAUUAGAAGGAUUGUCUGAGGUAUUCAAUUAGGAUUUGCCUAACAUGUAAGACUGGAAUCUAAUGUUUGUGGAACUUAAUCAUUAAUUUGCACAUUGGAGACAAUACUUAAUGCCAAUGCACAACUUUUACAAUGAGAAUGUAACAUGACCAUCGGUUUCUUUUUUUUUUUUUUCUCCCUCCUCCAGUCUCAAAGGGUCUUAGAUUAGUGGUGGAGAGACGUUGAUCAACUAUGGUAUGCCCCUAUGGGAAUAUAAAUUACACCUUCAAACUUGCAACACUGUAUAUAAUUGUGAAGUGAUUUAGCACCUCUCCCGAUUUAGUUAAGCCUUUUAAACUCUGUGGGCUGGUCUGAUUCUCGUGGAGUCUCAAGGCCCCUUCCUAUUGAGAAAUCCUAAAACAACCAAGUCUCUUCUUUCUUCGUGUUGUUGUGACAUGCUUGCGAAAAUAAGUUCGAAUCUACAUUUGAGAGUAACACUUGAGUGUGUUUGGAUAGGAGAUUAUUUGAAAUAAUUACUGCAAUAUUUUUGAUGAUGUAACGUAUGUGAGAUUAAAAGAUUAUUAAAAAGAUAAAAAGAACUAAUUGAAAAUUAUAAUUAUGACGCAAGCAAAAUAAUAUUUGGAUGAAAAAAAUACCGGAUCUGAAACCUUUUCUUGCAUAAGACUUAGUGGUAGCUACUCACCAUAGUUUUGUAGUGACUUAGCUUUGGGCUUCGGCCUCCGUUUGACCCAAAAGAAAUAAAUUUCUUGUCUUUGGUUUUGCUGCCUUUUAUUUUAUUUUAUUUUAUGUCUAUGAGCUGUAUUAAUUCAACAUUUCUCCACUCUAUCUCCUGUAAAAUUCGACAUACCUUUCCCACUUUUUUGUUAUUGUUGAUUUUGCAUUGCUGGGUUGUCCAACAAAAGAGAAAGACGAGAAAAGUUUGAAACCUCACUUAUUUGAAAAAAAUAAAAAAAUUCCCGCAAGAGAACAUAUGUUGGACCCCUUUUCCUUCUUGUGAGGUUUAAAAAAGUCUGCCUUGAAUUGAAAUAGCAACACGUUAGCCCAAUUUUUCUAGCAAGCCCAACAAAACCAAAUUACCCAUUCUGGGUGGUCUUGGGAUUUGUUGUUCCAAGACCCAAAAGGACAGGGCUUCAAGUUUCACGGCAUAGUCCUCUCCGAGUCUCCUUAUCCUACGCAGCCCCGGCAAUCACCCGCCAAUUCCACCACCUAAAACGAUGGCUCAAACAACCACCAUUUUAUCCCUAACCGCCACACCCAAGCCAAUUCCCGCCAAACACACAGUCCGGAGCAACCUUAUCCUGCGCACCCUCUGCACUAUCCCACGCACUCAUCCCCUUCUAUUUUGUGCAAAUGCCAUCUCAGCAAAGCCUUUGCGAGCAAACCCACCUCAGAAAUACAUCUACCCUGACCCCAACCCAGAAUUUGCUGAAGCUGUAAAUCCCAUCUUUUAUUUUUGUUUUUUUUUUUUCCUGGUUGAAACAUGAAAUUUUGACAACUCCUAUGUCUCUUCUGUUUUUCUUAAAUCAAAAGUUUUACUUUACGCGUGCUUAAAAAAUUGAAACUUUUAACUCAACAUAUAUUUGGUCUAAAUUUUGACAUGUUUGUGGGAAUUUAGGAGACGAAAAAGUUCAGAGAGGAGCUGGUGAAGAAGCUAUCAAAAGAAAAGGAGACUUAUGGGGGUGAGCUUGAUGCUGUGGUAAAUGUCUGUACAGAUGUAAGUAGCUUGUUUUUUAAUGAUAGUUUAAUUUCUGUUGAUUGAAUGAAUUUUUGAAAAGUAUCUGACACUUCAUUGCACAAUUUAAUGGAAAAUAUAUCAAAUAACAUGAGGAUCAAAGACCGCAGUGCAGUUAAAAAUAUAGCAUGGAAUAUUACCUUCUAGAAUAAGAAAAUAAAAUGAGAUAAACGUCAAUCAUGAUACGGUCCUGGAGAGAUUUGAUUGGAUCAAUUGGGGAGUAGAAUUGAUUGUGCAGUAGAAGUUUUAUGUUUUUCACUCAGACCAAUUAUGUGACAUUUAAACUGGCAAAUUGAAUGAACGCGAUAUUUUUGGCUCAACAACUUGAAUAAAACUCGCGUUAUCACCUUCAUGAAAUGUGAAGGCUGAUGAUGGUUUGAUACCUCUGCAAUCUGCAUCAUGUAUCGGUAUUUCAUGCACCAUUUAUUCUUUCAUUACUCUUUUAGCUGUAGAUCUGAAGCACAUUAAUUUUGAGCUGCUACUUCCUUCUUCAUGUACUUAAACUGAGAGUAUUUUCAUCUUUGAUUUUUUUUCCCCACUCGCAAUCGGGACAUACUAAGAUUUUGAGAAAUUGUGGCCUUGAAUCAUUGUAAUUAGUAGCCAUUACUUCUUGUACCUCAUUAAGUUUCGAUGAUAAGUCAAGAGCCAGCCGACAUCAGCGAAGCUACAGAGGCAGCAGUCUCCUGUUUUUCAUUCGUUCCAUCAUCAUGAUACUUGACCUGGUUAAUUAAUUGCACAAAACCCAUGACGAAACACAGUCUACAAAACCCAUUACCGACCGACAGUGGAAGGGACACAUGACGAAAUCUUUCAAUCAGGCCUUCUCUUACUUACUUAAUUGCAAUGGAUAAGAAGAAAACUCGGUAAUUGCAGGAACUCCAGCUUUUGAAUGGAGUGGUACUACUGACUUGACAUUUUAUUCUUCGCAUAGAUGAAAUCUGAUCUUUCAUUGCUUAUUAGUAUUAUGUUUCGAGGGGAAUGCUACCGCUAUCACAGUCGGCUUCAAAAGGUGGUGCCGUAGGGUCUCGCUGGGCCAUAAUAAUAUGAUGGAAGCUUUCCCUUGUAGCACUAGCGCUGUCAUACAGACAUGCAAAUCACUACCUGCAUAAAUCUUUUGACUUUUCUGGGAAAAGAGACAAAUGGGGAAUCUGAAAUUCAGUAGUAUUUUUGGAUUUCAGUUCCUGUGAGUGCAUUUUUUUUGUAUCAUUUUAAUGGAUUGCAUAGUGAGAGGAAAGGCAAGGGCUGCCUUUUGGUUUCAUCCUUCCCCUUCCCGGGAGAGUGGCCAUAUUUCAUCAUGUUUGUCUUCUUAUCCUUUGCACUCUGGGAUAUUGGAAGCUGCUGCUUGUCCUCUUCUUGCACAGACUUAUCUUCGAAGAAUAUUCAAUUAAUAGGAGAUAUAGAAACGCGUUAAGAAAAAAAAAAUUCUCAAGAUAAAACAAGAGAAAAGUUGGUGGCGCAGUUGUUUCUUUGUUUCUCUGGGAUAUUCGAAGGUUUAUGGAAGAACCAAAUGCGACGGUCCAAAGAUAAGUGAGGAGAGAAACUUAUGCCAACCGUGACCGCCGUUUGGAGCAAUUUGACAUGGGGGUUCAUACUGUUCAAUAAAUAAAUGCAAUUGAAGAGAGCUCAGAUUUGCAGAAUUUUGAUGAACUUCUCUGGCGAAGUAAUUGCUUGCAGAACUAUUAAAUUACUCCCUAUUAUGAACUUGAAACAUCUUUUCCUUUGGGAUCUGACUUGUUUUGACCUAGAUAUGGUUGAGCUAUUGAAUCUUGGAAGAAAUAUCUGAUCUUAAAACCAGACAAACCACAGUUCUAACCUUUUUCCAGUUGGAUUUGACAAUUUCUGCCAGCAAUUGUCUAGUAAUAAAGCUAAGCCCUUGAUUUCAUUUAACUGCUACCAAGUGUUGAAUGGCUUAAGAAUGAUAAUGGUUCCAACUUCCAAGCCACUCCUUUUAAACCUGUUUCUUUAUCACAUCAGAUAUUUAGCGAAUUUCUGUACUCGGAGUACGGAGGACCUGGAACAUUAUUGGUGGAGCCUUUCACUGAUAUGAUGGUGGCACUGAAGGAGAAGAAACUUCCUGGAGCGCCUUUAGCUGCACGAACAUCCUUGUUAUGGGCUCAAAAUUUUCUUGACCGCGACUGGGAAAUUUGGAACUCUACACCAGAGAAAUGAUAGUAGUCUUUUGUGGUGUACUGUACUAACUACCAAUAUUUCCAUCCGUUGUUUCCUUUCCGAUCAACCGAGAGAACUAAGUAGAGAAGUAAUUUGCAGGUUCAUUAUGAUAUAUUUGUCAUCGAACAGUGUAAGUUCUCAUUGCUCUCCUAUCUAUUAUACAUCGAUAUGAUUACUGAGCAUCUACGGCUGAAAGAGUGAAACGGUGUACAGAUAUUGGAAUUCACUUUAGUUCAUUCGCUUGAACUGUAUUCCGUCGCUAUGAACAGAAGAUACCUCAGCUUGCAGCCUCAGAAAUGCUCUGCAAAGAGGGCCGCCAUGAUUUAGACCUGCCAAUGUUUGUUGAUCCUGGCCGCUGCCAUUGCUUUUCGUGUCUUGUCACCUGAAAUGGUUAAUUGUCAAUGAGAUCAAUAAUCCUGGGUAGGACAGGUUAAUCAUCAUGAGAUGCUUGUAUUGACCCUUCUAGCCUAAUCCUGGGUAGGACUUUUGCCCAUCAUGUGCUUUUGUUUGUCAGAAAUUGAUAUCUUUAAUUUACAGAAAUCCAUGAAAAGGCCAAAUCAGAGAAUCAGAUGUCCAUGAAAGCUGCCCGGUCAUUUUUUAAAACAUAACAAUCUCCAGCUGUUCCAGUUUUAUUAUGACUAAGAAAACGUACAAAAAUUUAGGAAGAUGUCCUAACUGCUGCAUAAAUGUAUAAUAUAUUAGAGCGAAAUUGCAGUUGCCAAGUUCGAGCUGCAGCUGAUUGGCCGAAAUAGUUUACCUGGCGGUUGUUGUUGUCCAGUUCAGACUUCCCUGUUUCUGCCCCGCCGCUUGAACCUUGCUUUUCUGGUUGUGCUUCCAACUUGACAAUGGAUUCUGCCUGGUUCUUCUUCAUCCUUGCAUGCUUCUUUGCUCUCAAUACUUUCAUAACCUCUGAAACACCAAAAAGCAACUCGAACUUCAAUUCAGGAAUCACAUAAUGAGCUCUUCCCUCGAAUAACAGCAACUUGGGGUAUAUAUUUUUCCAAGAAACGAGAAAAAGUUGUGGAAACUGAAAUCAACAUUAUGAUGUAAAGAUUACUACGUCAAAUCACAUGGGCUCAAUCUUUAUCGCCCUUAUGACAUACCAUUUCCCCCCCCCCCCCCCCCCCCAAAAAAAAAUAAUAAGGGGACAAGAAAAAUUGGUAGCAGAGUAAAACAUGAACGAUACCUUGAGUUGUGACCAGUCUGUAAGCUCUGCCAAGAACUAGAGUUUCGCUAGGCCUCAGAAGCUUUACCCGAGUGAACCGAACCGUUUUAUCAUCUGAAUUCUCCUCACCACCAGUCAUAGGCAGCGGAAUUAUGAGAGAAACAUAAUGACCAGGAUUCAUCUUCAUGACUUCACUAGCAGUCACAGGCCAAUACAUCCUAUCUAUCCUUCCACUUGGAUGUUGUAUUACCAGUGCUGCAGCAUCCACGGCCUGACAGUUUCCCAUCUAUGUGUAUGCACUUUUAUCUAUCCUUGUCUCUCUAGAAAUUUAAUCAAGAAACAAGAAGUCUAUAGAGUAGAACACAAAAGAUUGGUAGCUAGAUAAGGGAGGAAGAAGGAAGGAAGGAAGGAAGGAAGGAGAUGGAACCAAAUAAGCAAAGAGUCUCUUUCUAAGCAGUACCCACCAAAGCAGGGCCACUCCACCAGUCCACCUCCUUCAUACUCCCCACAGCACAGGACAACGGUAAAAUAGGUCUCACUCAAUUACCAAAGCCGUCCCUCCGUCCCUUCCCAGCCAACUCAUCCAUCCAUGCUAGUUGCUACUAGUACUCCUACAAAUUGUUUUUCUUUUUCUUUAUUUAAAAAUUCAAAAAUUUAAAUAAAAUUAAAAGACUGGGAUAUACAAGUAGUUAAUGUUGCUUGAUGGCUGAUUAUUAUAGACUGAAACUCAAAUGCUACAGUAUUAUUCUGGAACCUAUAAUGGUAGUAAUAAUGGGCAUAUAUGAUUAGUUAAGGCAGUAUUUUUAUUUUUUAUUUUUUAGUAUGUUAGUAAAAUGCAGGCUAAUUUGAUUAUGUCCCUGUGUCAUGGGGCCGGCAACGUUCCUCAUAUGCUGCUGAGGUUGCCACGUGGUUCGGCGUCAAAGGUGAUGAUCUUGGACGGGCAUGCUCGGCGGUGUCGACGGGGUCAAGAUUUGGAUUUCUGCCGAUAAAUUCAUUUUUUUUUCGAAUUCUUCAAAUUCGUCAUAAAUAAUCCUCAGGUCAACUCAUUGUGCCUCUAGCCCUAUACUUAACUGUACUACCAAUAAAAACGCAAAAUCAAGGCGUGCAGCUGAGAUUCCAGCAGAGUUUAUCUUAGCUGUGCUCAUAUAGUAGUAAUUGUUUGGCUGUGCUCAUUAUUGUAGCCCUGAACUAUGUUAUAUGUUCCAAACCACUUGACUUAUUCUGUUUCAAUUAAUGUGAUUGGUGAAGCUCAAUAAAUUUAGAAUAUUGUGGAUUGGUGAAGCUCAAUAAAUUCAGCAGUGUGUGAUAUGGGAUUGGAUUUGUCUGAAUUUAGUUUUCUUGAAGUCUUCUUUAUACUUAAAAAAUUUGGAUUUCUGGAUAAUUUAGUUGUUUUGAUGCCUUGUCUAUACUUAAAAAUUUGGAUUUAUGAUUUCCAUUGACUUGCAUUUUCCUUCUACUUUCUUUGUUCAUUUUUUAUCCUCCUGAGUCAGUCCGUCAGUUGGAACUUCAAAAACAAAAGAGAAUUUUUUUUUUCUCUCUCAUGAAUAUUACAUAAACAUUUAAAUUAAAAAUUCUCACUUCUGAUCUAAAGAAAGUUAACGUUCCUUGUUUCUGAAUGUCAAUCAAUUACUUCCUGUCUCGUCUGGAAGAUUUAUUAAUUUUCUCCUUCAAACAAAAAAAGAUUAAAUUUCCGAAUUCCCAAACACGACUUUAGAAGAAAGCUGGAAAGAUAGUACUGUAGUAAUUAAUUAUUUGGGUUCUCGGACACACCUUGUUUGACUUCUCCUUGGUCCUUAGUUCGUGGUUGUUGUGUUAAGAGAGCAUUAGAAUGACUUCUCCUUGGAAAAAAAAAAAAAAAAAAAAGAUGAAAAAAGAGUCACUUUCACAUAGUUGUCUGGGCAAAUAAAAAAGAAUGUUCUUGUUGCUAUAACCUCCUAAUAAAUAAAGCAUUGGUUGGUGUGUAACAUUGCAUUAACUCUCACCUCAGCCUGCUGCGUUUGUCCCCUGCUGUUUUCCCAUUUAUUAACCUCUAAUUAAAAAUAACAAAAAAUUCAAUUCAAACAAUAUAUGAAAUAGGUUGAAUUAUCUCUCACAUGGAAGUUCACUUUAAAUUUUCAAUGGCUUAUUAUUUGUCGAUGCUAAAUCUCUCAAUACCAUUUUUCUUGGUUUAAACAGAAAAUUUAAACAUUAGAAUCCUGACUUCAAAUAUUUUAACCGAUCAUGAUUCAGAGGAGAGAAUAUAAGUGAAAGAUUCCAGAUACGAGACCUCCUCUGCUGCUUAUGCUUAAAAAAAAAAGAAAAAAGAAAAAGUGGCCAUGAUCUAAUCUUGAUUUGGAGGCCAAGAAUAACAGUACCGUAGUAUCUAUGAAAUUGUCAACAACAAAAUUGUAUCUUAAUACGAUAGCUUUCUGUUAUUGUCGAAGCUCCAUUGUCCGCAUACCGUUCUAAUAUCUUUGCCAUUUGGGUUACAUAUAUUCUAUACAUAUCGAAUGAACCAUACAUAUUUGAUGAUGUUGAUCACAGGACCUGGUGUGAUCUACUUACCUAUGCAAUCAAAGUUUUGGAAACCGCCAAAAAAAAAAAAAAAAAGAGUUUUCUUGGCAAGUGUUAAUUAGCAGAUCUUUAGAUUUUUCAUUCCUCAGUCUUUCAUCCAUGGGAGCUCCGGAGGGUGAAUAAUUAGUUACGCACAACUCUCAUUUCAUGAUGACUAUAACAUAGCGGAUGGAUACUCAUCACCCCCGCAGCCGCUGCAUCAGAAAGUUAUACUUUAAAAUAAAAUUUUGGCAAACUUUAAGCUUCUUGAUUGUUUAAAUUUAUACUUUAUUCACUUGGCAACCUUCAGGAUAGAAAGAUUAAAAACAUGGUCUCGAAAGAAAUCUGAUUCUUCAAAAGUAGUUAUGAGAAUCCACAAGACAGCAGAGAGAUAAGAACUUAACCCUGAAGCAGCGCCAAGAAAUUAAUUUACUACACACUUCUUAUCUUAGAAUUGAUGAGUAUCUUAUUGAACUUUGAGCACAGACAGAGAAUAUUUAGUAAAUGGAGGGGGGCAAAAAAAAGAGAACGUAAUCUUAGUAAAGAUCUUUGACUCCUGUAAAUCUGGUUCAAUUAAAUAAAACCACUUGUAUGAAUCUGAGAGCAAAGUUUGAAGAUCUUCUCUAGUACUUAUUAUUAUUAAUCCAGCCUAGUUUAAAAUCGAGAUGAGUAAACAUCUGUUGGUUUAAUGUCAGAUUAUGUAAGCCAUGUGAGAUGUUGGGGAUCUUCAGCUUAAACAAUAAAUGAUGAAUGGACAAUUUUUUGUUCAAACAUGACCAGUGCUGUAGGGGACUACAACCAUUUCUUUUUAAUGGCUCCUAACCUCUUAUCUCGCCAUGGAAUCCCUUCUAUUAUUAAAUGGUACUCGAUCAAUUUAGAUGAUCAACAAACCGUAGUAACCUUACAGAUAUAUGUACUGUGUGUACGGGAAAAAAAAUACUGUAAUACUUUUUUUGAUGUGAUGUAUAUGAGAUAAGAAGUUAGUUAAAAAAUAUAUUUAUAAUGCAAACAAAUAAAAUUAUGCAAAUAAUAAACUAUCAAAACAAACCUGCGACAUGACUUGUUGCAUAUGACUACGUACCUAUAUUUUCUACUAAUAUGAACAGCAUUUAUUGAGUAAAAUUGAAGUCAUGGGAAUUGAAACUCUCAACCAUUUAGGAUAAUGGGAUUGUGCGGGCGCUGUUGUCAGUGGGGUUAACUGGUUAAGACCUUUUGUUUGUGGAGGAUGUAUAUUCAUGAUUUUAAAGUUGCUUUCUCCACAUUCCUCCCCUAUUAUAGCAAUCCAAAAAGUAUUGAUUUAGAUUUAUUUAAUUUAAAGAAUAGUCAAGGAUUGAAGGAUUAAAAUAUUCUCGUGCUCAAGAUAGUGAUGGCAGGACGAAAGAAGAUUAGAACAAAAAAACAUAUUAAAGCUCAUGUUAUCUGCCGAUAUGCGUUUGAUGAGGAUUCAAAAAGGCGAACUACUAUUUUGACACCAAAAAAAAAGAAAGGCAAACUACUAGUUAAGCAUGUUUUUUCCUAUGCAGUCCUGUCAUGAUAGUGUGGACACCUAUUUGAGUCAACAGUCAGAAUUUUGUAGCUAGAUCGAAGAACACUGGAGCUAACGUAAAACGCCUCUUUGUUUUUUUUUUUUUUUUGUAAAACGCCUCUUUGUUGUUCGACAAUAUUUUUCUCAACUAAUCAACGCGAAAUUGUGGACUACUUUAUCUAGGUGGUGUCUCAUUCCCAAUCAAUCACAACGUUAUUUUUUUUAAGUUUGGAUGAUUUUGACUCCAUUCAGCAUCAUCACGAGUCAAGAAAUGUUUCGAGAUCGUAAAUCGAUUAAAAAAGUAUUUAUAGACUACUCAUUAAAACAGUUCUCAAAUCAGCUAUAAGAAUCGAAUAUAUGAACACAGUUAUUGCCUUCAAACCGGAAUUCGACCUGACCAAGUGUUAACCAAUUAUAAUUUAUAACGUAGAAGAUGAGCAACUAUUAAAGGUGCUAUAAUUGGUUAUUCAAAAAAGAAUACAGUACUAUUUCUAAUCCGGUACAGUUACUUAAGCUUUUCCUAGAGUUAUUUUGGAGUGGAGGCCAGAAGAGUGAGAUUAUCGGUCGGUCAUGGGUGAAAGAGUAGAUAGAUUUGAGGAAGUAUCUCUUCCUUUUUCUUUCUUCUUUUUGUGUUUUUUCCCUCCAAUCCUCUUCCCCGUAAAGACUUUUACGCUCUAGUCUAGACCAUUGUAUUGGCUUUAUAUGUGCAUUUGAUCUUAGGCAAAAGGCCAGGAAAAAGUCUAUGGUAAUAUCAGCACAUGCUAAUAAAAUAUGAGUAAAUUUUAUAUGCACAGAUAGUGUAUACACUAUUACCGUUAUAUUCAUGACAUAUGUGUAAAAGUUAAAUUUGACGUUCAAAAUUUGCACAGUGGUCAUUCAUCCAAUGCUGACACUGUCAGUGUAGGGAAGAUUAAUCCAUAAAAUAUUUGCAUCCCUUAUUUUUUUUAAGAGCUCCUUCCAAGACUUGAUAAUCUAUCUCCCCCAGUGAAUUUUUUUUUUUUUUUACCUUCACUUUAUUUAAUUUGUACUACGUAAUGUAAUUAGUAAGCGGAGUCAUCUGUAGAUUUGGUUUCAUACUGUUAUAACAUUAACCGAAUUGCUGGUAUUAUGUCCAAGGCUGUUCUUAUAGAAAUAUCUGUUCAAGGCUUCGCUAAUAUAAAAUGGCAAAGGGUUCACUUUUUUUUUUUUUUUUUUUUUUUUGAAGAAAAGGCAAAGGGUUCACUUAAAUAUUACGAAAAAGGGGGGAAAAAAAGGCACGCACACACGCACAUAUAGAGAAGGACAAAGACGUCCAUGUGAUUCGCUUUUCAUGUGAUGGAUAGAAGAGAACAAUUGCACGGUAGGGUGACCGUGUCGUCGGUAGACCAUAGCAUAGAACCGACUAAAUAUUCAAUUUAAUAUGAUAAAUAUAUAACUCGAGUAAGAGGAAAGCGUCCACGACGCAGCACCCAUAACCACAAGUGCUUUUCAAAGUUUAAUCCACAACCUAUAGAGAUGUAAGAGGGGAAAAAUGCACUUUUCAUCCCUAAUGUUUAAGGUGUUAACCAAUUUCAUCCCUAAAGUUUCAUGCAAAACACAUUUUAUCCUUAUAAUUUUAUAAUUUUGAUUAAUUUCAUCCUUCAAGUUUUACGCAAACACAUUUCAUCCUCAUAAUUUCCUAAAUUUGGCUAAUUGAGGACAAUUGGUAGAUUGUCAAGCAAUUUGAAUGGGAUAGCGUCACUUGAUCACGGCAUGCCUAUUAGGUAAAAAAAAAAAAAUUGGAUCGACAAAAAGCUCAAAAAUCUUUUCUUAAUUCACUUUCUCAUUUUAAUACAAAAAAAGACUAAGAAAUUUUUAGCUACGAUUACUUUCUUUUUAAUCACAAUCGAACAAGAAGAUCCAAAGAAAAUGAAGUCAGUGGGAAAGAAACAAUCCCACUAUAGCCAAUUGAAGAAAAAUGUCAAACAGACCCAAUACAACUAAUUGGAGAAAAAUAUUAAUGCAAAAGAAUGAAUGGUUUGGAUUGUCAUUUAUUUGCAAAAUUUUGUUUUGUUGCAUCAUAUACUUAUUUUUCAAUCAUCUAUUUAUCUUUCAAUCUAUUUAUUUAGUUUCAAAUAUAUCAUAUCACAAUUUAAAGGGAAAAAAAAGAGAUAGUCUCCUAUCCAAAAACACUUGUUGUUAUUUCUAUACAUUAAUCAAUAAUUGAAUUAAGUAUUAAUAAUACAAUUAUUAAUGGGACAUGUGAUGAUAUUAUGCCUAAAUUGUUAACAAUCCUUUAAUUGUCCUUAAUUGGUAGGAAUUGUAAAACUAUGAGGAUGAAAUGUGUUCUACAUAAACUUUAGGAACAAAAUUGGUCAAAAUCACAAAAUUAUGAGGAUAAAAUGUGUUUUUUAUGAAACUUUAGAGACGAAAUUAGUGAACACCUUAAAUAUUGGGGAUGAAAAGUGCAUUUUUCCCGAUGUAAGAGUAUAUACUUGCUCUAGAGUAAGGCUGCUGGCAGAGGUGGUUUUGGGACCAUCUCUUUCUCUAAAACUGCACUUUCGUUGCCUCUAAUGAUGUUGGUUUUAUGCUUGCGUUCGAUGUUCCUAAAGAAAUCUAUUCAUUAAAUUCUCAUCAUUGCUAAGAUUUUGGUCAAAAGUACCAUGCGCCGGUCUCAGACUAAAUUCUUUCAAUUAUUGGCUCAAGCUUAGUUAACUGAGACCAUUCAAUGCCAUUUGGUCACACUGAAAGAUUUCUUUCUUUUUUUGUUUUUUCAAUUAUAAUCAUCUAUAUCUACACCUACUUCUACUCUAACCUAUUCUAGGGGGAUUUUUUUGUCAAUUGUAAUCAUCUACACCUACUUCUAUUCUUACUUUAAUCUAUUCUAGGGGUGACUCUGUUGAUCGGAAACAGAUCAUGAGAUUGAACCAUCAGCAAAUCAUACGGGUGUAGUACGCACCUAUAUGGAUCUAAGAGAAGUCACAUUAAGUGGUAAUUUUGAUAGAAGACAUGUGGUAGCCAACUAAUCUAGAGGUAGUUGGGUAACAUUUCUUGGAACGCAGCCAAAAUAUGGUGCUAAAGCGGAAUGCAGAAGUGCCAACCUUAGGCAUAUGCUCCAAUUAUGGUCAUUUGAUCAACCACAAUCUCCCCAGUUGCGUAAUCGGCUUUGUUCUGUUUCUUGUACUCUUUUGGAGGCUUCCCUUUAUCUUGUUCCAAGCUCUUAGAGCAGCAUAGCUAAUACAUACAAACACGUGCCUGAUCUUCAGAAGAUACAACAAUUUUCUUCAUUGUCUGGAUAAAGGGUAUACGGAUGAAAUACUUUUUUGUUUAGCGUACGUACCUUUAUAUAUAAUUUUUUGUUCCAUUGGUUUAAAAGUCAGGCGAGAAUUAAGCCGGCCGCUUUCCAUUACUAGCAUCGAUUAGUCAACAUGCGAGCGAUUAGCUCAAGAAGAAACUCAAAAUAUUCGAUGAUGCCCAUAUCAUCAAGGGUACUCUCUAUAUAUAUGUGCAGAUAAAGAAUCAAGUAGCUAGGGAAAGAAUCUUUUUCAUUUUUAAUUAAUAGAGAGUUAUUGAGUUGGGCUCAUACCAAGGCAACGCCAAGAAAUUCUAAGGCCUAAAACUGCAAAAAGCCAGGCGCCAAUGGACGGCAUUAAAAUGUUCAUUUGGCGAAGUAGUAUAAUAUUCUAUUAAUUGAGACCAGGUGUCCCUUUCGAUUUUGGGCAAGCAGAAGCAUAUUUCAGCCAGGGAUUCUAGUAGCGUGAAGGUUAUAAAAAAGUAAUAUUAUUAGUUCAGAGUGAGUGUCGUAUAAAAUUUCAAAACUACAGAGUGCUUUGAACUUUGAAGAGGGCUAAGCGGACGACAUUUUUGACUGAUUCUUUUCAUACCAUUUUCCUGCCUUGUACUAACUAACUGGAGAAAAAAACAAAUAGAACCGAGGAAAACGUGUAUUUCAUCACUUUGUCAAGUUCUGCGAGAUCAAAUUAGUCAGUUAGUACCACCAUCUAAAACUGAUUAGUAUGUUUUUGCCUUCUUAUUUUAGUGCUGAAAGAUGGAUAAACUUUCUAAUGUUUGCGUAAUUGUAGUGAUGGAUGGAUGCUCGGUCAAGCCAGCUAUAAGUGCCGCCCUUUAAACACACUGAAAUGACCACGAGCGACAACAUUUGCCCACUUUUUCAUGUUGAUUUGCAUAGUUGUCCACUAAAGCAGGAGAAAAAAGGGUUGAAAUAACGUUCUUCCACAAUCGCAGUAACAUCAAGAGCAAAAUCUGUUUUGUUUUAGAGCGAAAAAACAUCAACAAAUCAGUCCAAUAAAAGCGCAAGGAAGAGCACCUUUUGGGAAAGCUUUGUCGAGCUUAAUGCACUAAGAGACGUCAUCCUCCUACACAUUUGACAUUUGAACAGUGGUGUUGUCUGGUAAAUUUACGCCAAAGGAAAAGGAGAAAGAAUGCAUGAAUGAUGAAACAAAGUUGUGCACUUUUUCAUUUCAUGAUUGCGAUCACUCGUGUGCAUGCAAGGUACGUAAAAAAGAUCAAAAUUGAAACUCAUAUCAUCUCAUCUUAGUGAGUGAAUGGAAGAAUUAUUGGUACUUUUUUUUUUUUUUAUUAAUUUGGAAGAUGUUCAUGAUGUGGACGAAUAGGAGAUUGGCACAUGAUCAAGUUUGAGCUAGCUCGCAAGGUGUUUGAUUAGGAUGAUAUCACAUCAAGAGCUUUGGGUGCCUCAAAUUUUGAAGACACUAUAAUGGAAUAAUUCCAAAUCCAAUUUGCAGUAACAGAAGCGUGUAGGUGAUAGGUCAUUCCGUUUUCAAUCCUUUUUUUCCUUUCUAGUCUGGAAUUGCCUUUACUAACCGGACCACAUCACCUCUAUAGUCGCAUGCAUAUUCUUGUUGCCUUGCCUUGAGAGAUACAAUACCAUUUCUUUCGAGGUUCCACUGUUAGCUUUCUUUCUUCUCUUUUUUUUUUUAAAGGAGUGAAUAGUUAUUGGCUUUGGUUUUGAAGGGCUGCCAUGCACAGAAUACGGUCGCUGGGACUUGGUGUUGAGCCCAGAUGGUUCCAAACCUUUUGGAAUACCAAACGAAAGGUAAGUUUUACGAAAGCACAGCGUGCAUGCAUGAUUUCUCCCGGGCACUAAUACGUUCCUCCUCCCACAUUUUGAGGUGGCAAAGUACUCCCUCCGUCCCACUUUGAUAGUUCUGAUUUUUUUUUUUCACACAAUUUAAGAAAAAGUAGUUAACUUUGUUGGAACAAUCAAUUUAGGUAGCUAUUUUCCUAAAAUACCCUCACAUUAAUUAGAAUACAACUUUAUGGGAACUUGAAUUGAUGGUACAAAAAGAAUCAACUCUCAUUAAAUAGGGUAGAUUUAUAGUAACAACAACUUACAUUGAAUAAGGGUAUUUUAAGAAAAUUAAAAUACAACUACAUUCUUUAAUUGGAAAGUGAAUUACAAUUUAGGACAGACGAAAAAGGAAAACAUGACUAUCAAAGUGGGACGAAGGGAAUAAUUGUGAAUAUAUGUGUAGGAAGCAGGAACCAUAGAAAGGCGAAAGCGAAAUUUAUGGUCAGAAACUUUAAUUAUGGAUCUUUGCCUAGUGGGCUUGAGGACGGUGGAAUUUUGAGCCCAUUAAUGGGCACUCUUUGAUCUGGGCCAGAUUCAGAGAGUUCCUCUCUUUCUCUCUCUCUCUCUUUUUUUUUUUAAAAAAAAAAGAAAAUCUUAUCCUGUAUACAAAUUUCACCAUUAGGCAAAAGAGAAAGAAAGAAAGAAAUGGUUAAUUUAAUAAAAAGACAACUCCCAAGUCACGACUCACAAUUCACAACCAAAAUUAACAAAGUUACGUCACAUAAAUGCAGAAUCCGUCGCUUCGCUACCACAACUUUGGAGUUGUUAAAAUGUACGUAUAUAGGAGAAGAAUGUCUAGGUCUAUUAUGUAUGAUUCAUACUGAUGUGAUUGCAGGAUAAAAAAAAAAAAAAAAAACAAAAGCGGAAUGAUUACACUGAGGGGAAGAACUUGUUGAGGUUGCAAGGUAGAGAGUAGAACUCUUCGCUCCUCGUGUCAGAUUUGUAUGAGCGGAAUCUAUCCCACCAUGGCAACCCCCUGUCCCUGCUUGUUGCACUACCUUUCUUAUGCAGCGUGACGUCCAGCAGCAACGCCAACAGCCCAGCCACGAAUGCCUCAGACGAGAAAGGCACGUUAAUCAUGUCGUUGAACUGACCACAAGGAAUCGAACAAGUUUUUGAUGCCAAUAUUCUACCAAAAUGAAAUGCAGAAAUUUGAUGUACGGUACUUACCCAUCUCGCCCUCGUAUGAACAGGACCCAUGCCAUUCACGGCUGUGUACUCGUUGAAGUAUUGCGGCACCGAUAAGCCCAUAAAGACUGAGGAUCCCAAUAUGAAUUUUGUUCUGAAGCUGUUCAAGUUGCAGAACUGCAGAUAACUGAGUCCUGCUGAGCCUGUUCGCAUCAUCAUCGAUGUCAAAAAAAAAGAUUAGUUAAGCACAACUUGAAAAUAUAUGGUGGCUUUGAGAUUAUACAGGUAGGUUUGUAGACGUGCUUACCAACAUAGGCAAAGAAGAGGCAAUAUAGAGCUGCAACAAUGGGGGCUGGAAUUGAAGCAAAUAUAGCUCCAAAUUUCCCUGUGAAUAACCGCCGAGGCAUCAGAUGCAGCGCAUUUUGCAAUUGCACUUCAACCAAGAAAGAAGAGAAGUUUGUUGGAUAAUCUACCUAGUAUUGAAAAGAAUAUCAUAAAACCAGCAGAUAUUUGCACUACUCUUCGGCUUCCCACGCGUGUCACUGCCAGCAGACCCGCAUUUUCACUGUUUCAGAGGGGAAAAAAAAGGAGGAACAUUUUCCGCUGAUUAGGAGUCGGGCUAUGAAUUGCAGGACGUGAUGGAAUGAAAGCUUCGCUAAAUGAUUAAUAAGAAUCUUACACAGAAACUGAUGAUCCAUUUCCUGUUCCAAACAUUCCCGAUAACAAUAUUCCGAUUCCCUUCAUUGAAUAGAGACACAACCACUAGAUUAUUAGACCAGCAAGAAUCAGACAAAAAUGCUUUUUAGUUUUUGAAAACCUCCUAUUACGCAUGAACUAGCUAAAAUUGAGUUGUUCAGCCUUGUUCUCAACUCUGUCUGAUAACCACCACUUUUAUCGGCCGGAGAAGGGCUCAACAGGGAGAGUUAGAGAAGACUCGAGAUCAUGGUUCAAAGACUCGGCCGAGAAAGAAACGAGAUAUACUAGCAAAAGAGAUAGAAAGCAUCUACUCGAAUUACCUGCCAGCCAACACCGCGGCUAAGGACUGACGGUGGAACAGGAGUUGCACUAGCAUACCUCGCUACAGCCAUGAAAGUACCUGUGGACUGGUAUAUAAAAUCAGAUGUCAACCACGAGUUAUAUAAAAUUUUAGCAUCACUAUAAGUUGCUUAAAAUUAUAUGCCAAUCGGAAAUUGCAAUCAAUCAACCAAAAAAAAAAAAAAAGAAUGCUAGUCCUGAGCUAAUGGUAAUGGCAAUGUUUAAACUCACUUCAACAAGAGAAACAAAAGAAGCUGCCAUCAUUGCAAAUGCUUCUCCAGCAUCGAAUGUGGGAGGUCCCCAUUGAAAUGGGUAUGGAAGUCUAAUCCUGCAGUAAGUUUCAGAAAGCUCUCAAGAUAGAUAGAGAAGUAAAAUGGCAAUUCACCUUCAGUUUGUGCAAAACUCUUAACAGAAAGCAUUCGUUGCUUAUGAUAUGUAACUACACGUUUGUGCGCUUGAUGUAUUGCAAAUGAAAGCAGCAGUUUAUGUUUGAAUAAUAUUAGUUACUAAAAAUACUGUGUUCUAAAGAUUUCUAUUAGAGGUAAACCUCAGUGGUCUCUACCUUCAUAUACAUUAUCUACAUUCAGCCUUACCAAGGAGCAGCACCAACAAUUCCUGCACGAUCUGUUCUGCAGGUUAACUGAGUCUUUUGUGGAGUGUUCUUGUAGGCUCCUCCCACCGUGAGAAGGUGGGCAUAAAUCCACACAAUCACCACCGAGAAGAGAACAGCAAACCGGUCAAAGACAUGUCUUCCUCCCUUCGUCAGGUGGGGUAUGUACUGCAAAACGAUCAGAAACUUGGGUUAAAAGCUGGAAUAUAUUCAAACACUGGGGACUAAUAUGUACAAGACGUCCAAAGAAAAAGCUUUUCUUGUCAUUUGUGCUCACCUGUGAAAAGAUAACCAGGAGGAUAAGUUGUGGCAAUCCAAUUUCAACACAUUUUGCAAGCUGCAUGUAUAGCACAACAGUUAAUGAUCACAUCCGGAAAGCUGAACAGCACAUACAACUGGAGUAUUAGGGAAAAGCAAAUUGACUUGAAAUUUUCUUGGAAGUACAGAACAAUUAGAUUAGAUUUUUUUGGGGGGGGGGGGGGGGUGGUGUAGGAAAGAACAAUUAGAUGCUUACUAGAGGAAAACCAAAUUCAUACAAUCCAAAUCCAGAUAAAGCCACCAAUGGAAUUGCAGAAAGUGGGCUCAUGAACCUGGCAUUGUAAGCACAUGCGUAAGUCAGUUGGACAGAUGUUUAGAGGAGUCACGAAACAAUCCACAACAAACAUCAUAUCACCAGACAAAAAAGAAAAAGCUACUGGAAAAACAUAUAAGGAGGAAAACAAAAAAGAAAAAAAGAAAAAGCUCUGCAUAUCCUUGUUGCUGAGUUUUUACUAUAGUAAAAUAUAACCUACCUUGUGACGUUGCGCCAAAGGCCACUAAAACCAAUUAUAAUCUGGAGAGUUGAUGCUACAAUCAUGGCUCCCUGAAUUCCCCUCAUGAUUUUCUGAAAUCUCUGCAUAAGCAGCACCAGAAGGGAAUGAUGGAAUGAACACCUAUCAAUAGAAGACAAAAGUAUGAGGAGUCUCAAUAGCGCACCUCCUGAGGCUCUGGAAUACUGCUAUAUCGCCCUGCCAAGACAAUUGAAAGUGUUGUGGGUACAAAUGUAUAAGAGCCCCCAAUUACAGCAGGUAAUCGUGUCCCAAAAAAUGUCUGAGUCAAUGUAUUCAACCCAGCAACAAACAGCAGCGUCUGAAUCAUCUUUGCUUUCUCUUCCUGACCAGGGUAAUUAUAAAUACGCAUUAGAUAGAUUUAGAAGCAACAUGAAGUGAAAGUAUAAGAAAGCAUUUGUGCCCAUGUCAGAGAAUUUACAUUUCCUCCUCCCAUUUGGGGAACCAAAGUGGUGGGGAUAAGAACAGUUGUCCCAAGCAUGACAAGGUAGUGCUGGAACCCAAGUAUAAUGGCCUCAGCUGCAGUCAAAAGAUCCAUGCACAUUAGUUACAAUCACAUCAUCUUCACAAAAAAUGCAGGUUAACAGCCUAUAAGUCUACCCGACAUACACGCACAGAAAUAAAAAAAUAAAGAAUUAGAAGAAGAUGAACAGCAGAGAGCAAGCACAGAAAAUAAUUAAAAGAAGAAGGCAAGGAAUGCGAAAUUUACAGAAAGUUCAAGGAGUAGCGUAAUGCCAACACAGAGAAUGAGCGAAAAAGCCAAAGAAUCACAUUCCAAGCAGAUGGACUAAAUGCCAAACAAUCAUUAGUCCUUGAAAACACAUUUCACAAAAAUUGAACUCAAACGGAGGAGAAACGGGCUACAGAAAAGAAACUAAGGUGCAAAGAGAUAAUUUUCCGCAGUAAUCACCACGGACAAAAAUUCCAGGGAGACAUUUCUACAUGCAAAUGCUCCAAGAAAGAGUUUUCGAAAGGUGCCGGAGAAAAACUCAUACAUCCCAUCAAACAGAUUUUGGAAAAAAAUGCUAUACAAAAACAAAAGCAAGCACUCCUAGAAGAAGUCCCUAAGAGAAGAUUAGGGAGACUCACGCCAGGGUGGAGGGCUAGUAAUGCAGUAAGAAACAUUAGGCAAUUGAUCUUUCACUGGAUGAGGCUGCAGCUCAUCUUGCUUUGGUGGGGGCGCAGCAGCUCCUCCACCUCCUGCCAUUACUCUGCUGCUUCUUGAUCGUUUCUCUUUACAACAAUAUAAGUAAAGGAUUUUACUUCCCAAUACACUAACAAGUAACAAAUCUCCACAAAAUCCCAAAUCCCAAAUCCUCUAGAAAGUCUGACCAAAUCCCAAGCUAUUAUUAUACGCCAAAACCAGAACUCCAAUCCCAAAAAGACGACUCUUACAAGCUACAAGUCCACUAAAGUAAGAGGGGGGAAAAACAAAAAGACUUCUUUCUCUUUUUUUUGAAUAAGCAGUUAUAUUAUGAGAAAUGAGAGUGAUCGAUGGCCAUGGGGUAACGGGCCACAAUACAACAAACAAAGGGCUUAAACGCUCUAGUUGAAGGAACCAAGAAACAUACUUCUCUCAUUCCACUAAAGCGAAUGUGAAAGAAAGAAAAGAAGACAGAGAAGGAGAAAGAGAACAAAAGAAAGAAAAAGAAGCAAAGAAAUCCCUCAAGUAAGAAAGAACCAAAAUGGUUCUCUUCAACACUUCCCAAAAAAAUAAAAAAAAAAAGAAGAAUCUAUCUUUCUCUUACUACUCUCAAAUUUUAAAUCCGUUACAGGGAUUUGAAAGUUGGAACUUAAAGUCAGUCUUAAGGCGUUUCUUCCUUCCUUUUUCUUUUCACACGGAAAAGAUAAAGUUAUAAAAGCAUCCAAUUCAGCCUUCUCAACUUUAUUACCAAUCCUCAUUAGUACUGCUACACCAAUAGCUAGCUAGCUAGCAACAAUGCAUGCAUGCAUGCUUGAAUGUGUGUGCGCGCAUCUGAAAUCUUGGUCAGCAUGUUUAGUCUCAAAGGAAAAAAAUGCAUUUAAGAGUGAUAAUUUUGCCAGCCAUUUUCUUAAUCAUAUGCACUUUGUCCAUUUUCUUGGUUUUCACUUUGCAUGUUUGUUUGCAAAUCUUGUCAUCAGUCAAAUGAAGAAAUAAAAAGGGGCAGAGUUUGAAGGUUUGAUUAGUCUUUUUCUUCUGCAGAAUGGAGAGAUGUCAAAAUGUGCAUACAAACAACAAAUCUGUCUGCUUUGUUGUUUUAUUUCUUUUUGCUGUUUAGUUUUUGUUACUAGCCAUUUGCAUGCAUGACAUUUUGUACUCUGGGCUGUGCCUUGCAUGCAUUGACAUGUCUAUUGUAGAGUACAAGCCAAUACAAUCUUAUACACUAAUUCCGAUAUUGUGAUUUGAUUACUUCAUUUUUCAAUUACUGAACACAAAUUGCAUCUAAGUUUUAGAAUUAUGCUGUUGGCUGGUUGAAGUUAAACAGCAACUUUUUUUUUUCGCUAAUUUUGAAGUGGUUUUGGUUGUGAGGAUUCUGCAAUGUAUGUCAUGCAUGAUGCAACGUAACUAUGCUACAAAAAUAGAAAAGAGAAAAACUAGAACAUAAUAUGAUAGUACAAUCUCCAUAUAGUACAACACAUACUUUUUAUAGCAUGUUCUUGGACCAAGACUUGCAGUAGCUACAAAAGGUUUUGCUCGUCAAGCUGGCAUCAGUUCACCAGGCAGCUUUUCCUACUUUUACAUAGGAAAAACUUACUCGGAUUAUUCUUUCCGUGUUUUCCACUGCCAAUCUCUUCCUUUUUACCAGAUAAAGAUGAGAGUUUAUUGUUUAUGACUUGUCAAAGAAAAGUAAAAGAGAAAAAAAAAAAAUAAGAGUUUGAUGUUAAUAAUCUUUGGAUAGCCCAUUUUAAUGAAAUAACAUGUUUGUAACUUUCGAAGCUAUUUCGUGAAAAAACAACAACAAUAUUGAAGUUACAAGAAAAUUGCGUCGAUUGUUUCAACUUCCGUUGACCCUUUGUCCUAGCGCUAUAUAACUCAUAGUUAGACGGUAGAGAUAAUGGCCUCGCUUUAUUUUCGGCUGAAGGAGUCUCAUACAUAGAUGUAAUUACUUAUAUGAAUGUGAAAUUUCUUUUUCAAUUUAUUUUCGCGGUUAAGCAUGGAGAUUGGCAGACCAUCAUAUUUUCUGCUGCAUGCUUCUGACAAAUAGAUUCUAGGCUCUCCGACUCCUACAGGACACAGUCUCCUCAUCAUCAUAUUAUCGACGAAUAUUGGUCGAAUCAUUAAAGCAAGACUUCCAUCAUUUGUCAAAAUAAUGCAAUAAGAUUAAUGAGGAAUACAAUUCCAGGAUUAGGUGCUCUGCCCACUUAGCCACUUGAGAUGGUUGUCACAGGAGAGGAAGUGAAAAAAAACAACAACAAUCCGAUCAAUCAGAACCAUAUAUAUAUUGAAAGCAAUAAUCUGACGAACAAGUGGCAGAUUUUUAUCUGGCUCAGUAUUUCUCUGUCUUAAAAAAAAAUCAUUAAUGUUAUCAAGAAAGUAAGUUUUACAGUCGACUUUUUCUCUCUUUCUUUCUUCCUAAAGAAUACAGCCAAGAACUACAACUUUCCAUAUUUGGUCGGCAAAUCAUAAAGGAGCUCCACGUGAUGAUCCCUGCUCUGAUGCCCCAUGCCAUCCUUGUCAUGGGUCACUUUGACCUUAAUGAAUGAGCGUUGCUCUUGGAAAGCCCAGAAAAUGCUUCUGUUUUGUACCAGAGUUCAGUCCGACUUCACAUGUAUGAAAUCUUUUAUCUUCGUGAUGAUGAACAGACGAAUAUAAAACUGUUACUACCAAAAAAAAAAAAAAAAAGAGAGCUGUCAACCAACACAAACACCAUUGUGUUCUUCCCUUUUGCGCCCGAAAGGUGGGAAAAAAGAAAAAGUGAAAAGUAAAAAUGUUUUAAAAAUUUUGAGAAAAAAAUUACUCUACCCUAAAGCCAAACUCUUUCCACGACCCCCUUUCCAACCAGACCUUUCAAAAUAGGCACAAGUGGUCAACAUGACCACAAAAUUGAGGACAUAUGACUACAUUUACGUAUACAUGUGUAUGCACAGCAGUUUUCCACUUCAACAAUCAACCCAGUUCUGAUCUAAUGUGCUGUAAGUGAAAAAUUAAUAGCAUAUCCAACCUAAAGACGGUUAUUUCUGUCUUUCUCCAAGGCAGCUAUUGGGAAGUUCAAUGCCUAGCUUUCCUGCUAUACAUUGAUCAUCCCAGAACAGAAUGAGAAACUGCAUUUUACAAUCUAAUAAUAGGCAUCAGCCCAUGAGCUUAUCUUGGCGUAAUUCUGUCUGGAUGCAUAUAACCCAUGCCCUCUAUCAAAUUAACAGCAUGCAACACUAAACGCAUUGGGAAGUAAUGUGGCGAUAAAGAAAGCAAAGCUCAGGGUUUAUUGACAACAAAAUUCCUUGAAUGCCUAAACUGCUAACAUCUUACAACUACACGAGACAAACUUCUCCAUCAAAAUUUGGUACCAAUCCAAAAAGAACUUGAUCCUCAGAUAGUUGAGGAGCCAUUCCCUUAGUUAUCCGAACAUGACAGCACCAAUUCACCCUCAAUGCAUGACAGAGUAACAGUCAUUGACCAGCAGAGCGAGUUUGUAAUCUCUUCCUCUCAAACUCAAGCUAGCAAAAACACAGAAGAUCAAAAAGUCAGUAAUCAGGUGAGAUGACACUAUGCAUUUCACUCAACACAGUUCAACUUUUAGAGUUGACAGUCUCACCACUUUCCGCACUCGCUCAUUGGCAGCUGGAGUUCCUCCAACGACGGACUCAGGAAGAUAUGGGCUACUAACGCGCACUUCAUUCAUCACAACUAUAGUAGUCUUGUCCCAGCGCACUGGAAGCCUGAAUACAUGAUGAAAUUAGUAAUAUGAAUCAUAAUCCUGUGUCUCAUCUUUAUUUGGGGUUAUGCAUAAGGUAAAUUUAAAGGUAGAACAAAUACUAAAUGAAAAGUAGCCACUAACAGUAAAUAACACCAUAACAAUCACUAAAUCAACUCUUCUUAAACGAUAACAUACAAAUGGUCAUCCAGAUAGUUCUUUUCUGCAUAUCAUAAGGCAGCUGAAUGUAUUAAAUAUUCAAAUGUGAUCGUCUAAUCAGGAUAUGUGUGUGUAUGCGUGCAUGCGCACGAGAGAUGGGGGGAGAGAGAGAGAGAGAGAGAGAGAGAGAUUUGGAGAAGCACUCUUUUUUUUUUUUUGGGGGGGGGGGGGGGGGGAAUCACCACCGUGUAGCACCUCUAUUAGCUUUGCCAAAAAUGUCAGCAUGCUAUGCAUUUAAUGGAUUCAGGAUGCCAGAAAUGCUGUGGAGUUUCACUAAAGUGCCAAAGCCAACUACUUGCAUCCAUGUCCAUGAGUCAGUUAACUGCAUUUUCAAGAAGCUCAGGGGGCUUAUUCUUCUGUUCUCCUCAGAAAUUUCUGAUUAAGACCAUAGACAUUAAACAAUUUCAGGUGCAGUUAAUCAGAUGAUUCUAACCAGAUUCCUAUAUGAAGAAAUGAAAACUAAAUACCAAGCUUGAAAGCAGAAGACUGCCAUUCAGAAGGAUUGGCAUGUUUCCUUGACAUUGAAGUUUUGUCGAUCACUUCAGAUGAAGAUUGAACGAGUACACCAUUGAGAUUCGAUUGGUAAAUUGACCCAAAAUAACACUAGAUAACCAGGGUAAGAAAAGAAUAUACCCUGACUUAGUUUAAAUGCUGCAUUUUCUAGAAUCAUGUAACAGCUACUAUAUCAGUAUAUACUUUUGACUCUUUUCUUUCAGCUUCGCUAAAAAAGGCCCUAUCCAUCUUCUGACUUCUCCCUUAGUGGUGUUGGCAAGGAGGUAGCAAGAAGAAAUAUGUUAGUCUUCUCGUGAAUUUAGACAACAUGAAUGGAUUUGUUUUGCGUACAACAUUCAUAUAGUGCACAAUGGCAUUUGAAGAAUUAAAAAGGAGAUUCUGCACAGGAAUAAGAUUGUUCAGCAGUUUUACUCCCCAAUUCUGCAUCUAACACUACUUCCGAAAUGGAGUUGUUUUAUGCAUCUGAUGCUCAAGGCUGAGCUAUUCCAGUGAACUUUAUGAAAUUAUAAAUCUCAAACCUGAUAGUACCUUUAAAUGGAAGCCAUACUAUCUACUCAACAUCUAUGAUCUGUCAUUAGAAACAAUUAUUUUGAUUAGUAAAGAUUUCCUUUUGCCGAUAGACCGUUGGAGUUGUAUAACCACAGUUAAUUCUUGAAAUAACAAGCCAUUUAGUUCAUGCAAAAAUGUGCUUUUUGCCAACAAUUGGAUGUCAUAACAACACUAGCAAUACCAGAACUUAUUUAUCACAAAAUAGAAAUAACAAGUCAAGACUGCAAAGAACCAAUAUUUUCAACUAGUACAAGAGGAAAGAAAAAACUACAUAAAAUAUACUGAAAAAUCAUAUUGAGAAAAUCAAACCGCUAAUAGAAGAUCAAGAAACAGCAAUAAAGAAAUGACAAACAUAAAAACUUACGUUUUGGACAGAGCAUCAAAAAUGCUCUGAGCUUCAGCUGUAACACCAAUCCCAAAUCUUUCAGCCUCCAACUCAGCUUGCCUGAAAAAUGCUACUUAUAAAAUCAACCACAAUAAUCACAAAAAUAGUCCAAAUCCACAACUUGGUCAGAAAUUUUUUUAAAAAAAAUCGAAAUACCUAAUAGCAGAGUCUUCUCUGGCUUGAAGAUUAUUAAGAUCAAUAAAACAUUUCUUGAGAUCAAGAGGGUCUUCACCUUGACCCAAAAAAGUAAACUCCUUUACGUAAUUGGCUUUCAAUAGCCUAAUAUUCCUCUUUGGCCCUGACCCUGAAUUUAAUCCUUCUUGUAUUCUUCAAAUCCAAAGUUAAAGAAUUUCAAAACCCACAAGAAAAAUUACCAAUUCAUAAUAAAUACUGAAAAUGCAUGCGAAAAUACUGAAAAGAAAAAAUGGAACUUUUUAAGGGAAAAUCUAGAAAAACAGGAGGAGAAGGAUAUGGAGAACAAGUAUGUUGGAUGAGCGGUCAAAGGUCAAAACUUGGCCUUGAAAUUCUUCUCCAAGAGUGGUCUUGAUGGAGAGUAUGCAUCCUACUGCGAAAUCUUCGUUACUGUUAUGAGCUUCCAUGGAUUUAGGCUUCUCGUCUUUUCGGCUUGUAUUUCACCUGAUUUGAGGUUUUGUAAUGGAGCACCAGUUCAGUUUCUUUUCUUUUCCUUAUUUCAUACCGUUUUUGGUAAUUUCAACACGGGCUGCAAAACAAACUUUUCAGAUCGGAGACGUAUUGGGCAGCCCAAAAUUCUAAAGGCCCAAUUCAAAGUCCAGCCCUAAAAGAGUCUGAAGCGAUAGGUGGUGGCUAGUAUUGCACAAUUCCAAUUGAAAAUCAAGUCUUCUUUUUUUUUUUUUUUUUUUAAAAAAAAAGGAAAGAAAGAAAGAAGAAGAAAUGUUAAUUGCACCUCACAUUUUUUUAAUCGCACUCACUAUUUGUUUUGUUAUAUAGCUUAAUAAAUAAAAAAUGAUAUAAUAAAAAUGAUAAUAGUGAAAAUGCGGUUAACAAAAGAGAGAGUGCAGUGCAAUUAACAUUUUUCACAAAAAAAUAAGAUAAUUACCAGAAGAGGUUGUUUGGAAAGAUACACAAUUGCAUGUAACAAUUCAUCUUUGGUAAUUGGUGAACAACUAGUUCAUUUAUGGUUGUCAAAACCUUUUUAAAACAUUUUCUCAUUUAUGAGAAAUAUGAAUGCAAAUUGCAGCAAGGGUUAAUUGGUCAAUUGAUGCAAUUUCUGCCAUUCACUUUGUAGUCCAAACACUAAAUAUGGUUGAGAAUAAGUCAAUAAUGUAAGUUGCAAACUGGUGUUGAAUAUUACUGGGACAAUAGAGAAAUUGCAGAAGUAUUAUAGGGAUUUCCUAGCGAUCGACAUUUUACACUGUUUGGAUUAUAGUUUUUCACAGAAAAUUUUUUUAUAUUUUUUGUUUUUCAAAUUAUCUUUUCACCUCGUAUAUAUCAAAUUUUUAUAAUAUAUUUUAUGUUUGGACAAAUAAUGUAUGAGACUGGAUGAUAUGAUCUUGUAACGUUAAGAUUUGCAAGAAGAGCUGAGCUCACAAAUUCUAGACAACAGAACGUAUUGCAUGUCUAACAAAAAGAAGCAAUUUCGCAGAACUGCUUGCAAGCACAUGUAACGCUUCCAAUACUGAUGACACACGCAUGAUGCAACUUAUUCCAUUAUAAGUAGUCUAUUACAAGAUUUGUAUUCUCACUAGAGGUGGCAAAUCAACCCACUUAACUAAAUUUACCCAUAUCCGUCCAUGAAUAGAUGGGUAUGGGUAUCUUAAAUUUUUAUAUAUGGGUAUAAAUGGGUUACCCAAUAAUACUCAUUUAAUAAAUGGGUAUUAUUGAGUAACCCAUCAAACCCAAUUAAUCCAUUUAGAAUUCUCCUCCCCUAAAUCUCUUUUUUUUCCCCACCCAUUUUUUUUUUUCAAAUUUUUCAUUUUGUCAUGAUGUUAACUACUUUUGUUUCAUUAUUAUUAUUAUUAUUUGUUGGUUUUAUUUUAUUAUUUUAUUUUCUUUUAGUUUGUUAACUUGCUCAUUUUUCGGCAUUACCAAUUUAUGAUAAAUUUGAGCCUCUUUUCUUAUCUUUCUAAAAUGAAAAUUUAAAUUUAUAUAUGAAAAAAAUGUUAGGGAUUCAAAAUUUUUGGAUUAAAUUAUUAUAUUAACUUUUAUAGUACUUAGUUCACAUUUUUAUAUUCUUAUUAUUCAAUUGUUAAAUAAUAUGUAAUUUUGUGAAAUAGAGUAUAAAUGAAAAAAAUUGGUAAUUAGGUUUAUUGAACAUUAUAAAUAAAUAUUUAAAACUAAUGAUGGGUACAAAGAGUCGUAUAAAUUGAUAACUUAGUUUGCAAAAAUAAAUUUAAAUGAAUUUACAAAAAAUUAAAAUAAAUGGGUUAUAAAUGGGUAAUUGGGUUACCCAAUUCAUUUUUUGACUUACCCAUUCAUACCCAUCUAAUUAAAUAGGUAUAAAUGGGUUGACUCACUUAUACCCAUUAUCCAUUUUACCCAACCCAAACCCGCCCAAGUCACCCAUUUUGACACCUCUAAUUCUAACAGAGUUGGACAGCAACUAAACAAAUUUUAGAAAGUACAAAUAUAAACAAUUAUUCUUCUAAUAAUUAAUCGUCCUCCAAAAUUUACUCUGUGACAAAUCCUUCUGAUCUCUCCUUGAGUGUCAGUUAAGGAAUUUAUAUUACUCAUUGUCACCGUGUAAUCAGCAAAAUCGCCGAAGAAGAACGAGAGCAAAUCCCCACAUUAUCAUGGAUUUAAAAAAUCGUUUCGCAAAAGGGUUGUUUGUAGUUCUAAGAGUUCGUAUUCUUCAAAUACGAGGAUAGCAAACUCUCUGUUUCAAUCAAGAGAAUAGCGACUACAUAAUUCAAGUUUCAAUUUUUAACAGAUGUUUGUCAUCUUUUGCAACAAAAGUCAGCAACCACAAGUGAGAAAAUGCUAUCCUUUUUUUGCUCAAAUGUGAAUCAAAACUCAGUAAUUUCAGUCAUACCGCAUUUGAAAAAUGUCAAGCUCGCAUUACAAAGAUCUCUCUUGUUGGAAUCAUACGUCACAAUCUACCCUUUUGAAGAAUGAUUUUAGAAUUCAUCAUAAUCUUGGAAUUUUCCCCUUAGAACGAGUCCAUGUCAGUAUCAUCCAUCACAUCCCUACAAUAAAGAAACGUCAACAUUCACGAAUUUAAUACAGCACUUAUAUUUAGUGUUCAGAUAUGUCGUCUUCGCUGUUUCUUUUCGAACAAUAUAUUUUUGUUUUAUGUGAAUUAGGCCUUGAAAAACUUACAUCAACAAAACAAUCGUGAAAAAAAGAGGCGGAUAAUUGAUGCCACCAUCCUUGGAUCUUGAUCAACAGUUGCACUCAUCACAUCGUGAACUAUAGCAGGAAGAUCAGGGCAGCUGUUGCCAUAGAAAUCGAGCGAAAUAUGGGCAACAGAAGGACUAAAAUAGAGAGCUAAUAUGAAGAAAAUGCAUGGGAGCUGGAAGGGGACAAUGGCCAUGCCGAAGAAGCACUUAGAACACUCGAGCUAAGCUUAUUAUAAACUUGCUUUUCAAAUUGCAUGGGGAGAAAUACAUUAAUGUCUUCAGAAUGAUGAUACAUCCUCCACUGGAAUUCUAUGUUAGCAAAACUUCAGUGUGGAGUCAUCUGGGCUAAGUUGCCACAUUGGGUUCAAUUUCUAUCUUUUACUUGUACAAUCCCAUAUGAGUAGAGCUGUUAAUCGAGCCGAGUCGAGCCGAGUAUUUGGCUGCCGAGCUCGACUCGAGUUUAAUUCGAGCCGAGCUCUACUCGAGCUCGUUAGGAAAACGAGCUUUAAAAUGUGUUCGAACUCGGCUCGUUAAAUGUACAUGUGGCUCGAGCUCGAGCUCGAGCUUGACUCGUUUAUCACAAACAAGUCGAGCUUCACGAGCUCGAGCUCGAGCUCGUGCAAAUUAAUCUUAAUAAAAAUCUAUAAUUUUUAAUUUUUAUAAAUUUGAUUUCUAAAAUGACAAAUAUGCCCUUCAUUAAUGAGCUCUAACGAGCUACUCGAGUAUCAAACGAGCCGAGCUUACUCGGCUCGUUAACUAAACGAGCAUGUUUCGAGCUCGAGCUCGACUCGUUAACCAAAAUUAACGAGCCGAGCUCGAGCCUUAACGAGUCGAGCUCUAAUGAGCUUUCGAGCUACUCGAUUGACUUAACAGCUCUACAUAUGAGCAUGGGAUUUUUUCCUUUUCCCAUUUUGAAAUGUUAAAUCGUGCAUUUCCCAACAAUUAUUCCUGGACCAGCAAAAGGAGCCCUUAGGCCUUCAAAAUGGUUCCUGGACCAGUCCAAGUUAUUGGUUGUAGUAGUCCAAGAAUAGUUGGGUUUAUGCCAAAGGUCCUGCAAACCUUUCCCCCAAAGUCUCCCUCCAGGUCAAUACUAAUUACUGUUGGGCUCAGAGAGAGCCAAAUAAGGGGAGAAUUUAACCAUGAGGUAGAAUGGUAACCACAACCAUGGGCUUGACACCACAUCCAAUCCAAAACCUUAAGGCAUUGGGUCUAUGGAUCAUUCCCACUUAUAUGUUCCUCAUUCUACUCAUCUCUUUCCGAUGUGGGAUAUUGAUUCACACUUGAUAUCCCAACAAUUACUAAUGGCGGACUAGCAGCUCGUCUCCAACUUUAUGGUCAAAGAGUCGAGAGAUAAGGUUAAGACUAAGAGUUCAGCAAAAGGACAUUCGAUUAGGAAGGUGGAUGUAUAGUACAGAGAUUUAAUAAUAUUUUCUUUAUUUUUUUUGGGGGUAUCCAUAAGAUACAAAAAUGAGAUUAAUCAAUUAGAUAUCAAUCAGUUACUACGUGAAGAUGACAAAAACUGGCCAGGUUAAGCUGUAUUGUCCAAAUAACAUGGGAUUUUCUGCUUGGCUUUUGACUGAAUCUUCCCCACAAGCUUCUCUUCUUUUGAUCUUCUUCCUCCAUCCCUCUUAUCUCUCUCUCUCAACCAAAAAUAGUGGGAUUCUCGGCCACUAGUUCCAAAAACCAAAAGCAUGGAAACAUAAGCAAAGCGCGCAAGAAAAAAAAGAAAACAAGCAUAUUAACUUGAAGCCAGAGAUGGGCUCUAAAAAGCCACUGAAACAUCAAUCUAACUCGUUAUUAACAAAAUUAUUGCCUUGGACCUUCUCCAUCCUCCUCCCCCUCCUCCUCAUUCAUCUGUGUUUUCAUCCAAUACCCUUCCUACGCUCUCCAUCUAGUAAGCUUCAUUCAAAUAAUAAUAAUGCUAUCAACAAUGACUCCGCUUCUCCUCCUUCGCGACGUACAUUUCCAUCCAGUCAGCUUCAUGCAAAAAAUCACGUUAUCAACAAUGACUCCACUUCCCCUUCUCCUUCGCAAGGUACAUUGGUCUAGGAUGCACAAUAAUCAAAAGGCAACAUGUGUUUGUCAUUUUCCUGUAUUUUCAGGCUUGCAUUAGUCACCAAUUUUUACGUAUGUAUGAGAACAAAAGCUUCUGUCUUGAUUUCUUGCAGAUGUUAAUAGUUCUAAUGCUCCAACUGCGUGUGACUACUCGAAUGGGGAAUGGAUACGUGACAAGUUGGGACCUCUGUACAAUGGGACAACUUGUGGUACAAUUAAAGAUGGCCAGAAUUGCAUGAGCCAUGGGAGGCCUGACAAAGAUUAUCUCUACUGGAGAUGGAAGCCAAGACAAUGCAAAUUGCCAAGGUUUGAGCCUCGGACAUUUCUCCAAUACCUUAGCAAUAAGCAUUUGGCUUUUGUGGGUGAUUCUGUUGCUAGAAACCAAUUGGAAUCCCUGCUCUGCAUGAUCACCACUGUUUCUUCUCCUAAGCUUGUUCGUAGUUAUGGUGAGGAUAACAAAUUUCGCAAAUGGCAUUUCCCUUCUCAUAAUGUUACCGUGUCCAUUUUUUGGUCACCAUUUCUUGUAAAAGGCAUCGAGAAAUCCGAUGAGAUUGAUAUCACGCGAAAUUACAAUAAACUGUACUUGGAUUUAGUUGAUGAGAAAUGGGCAGGGGAAAUUGAUCAUCUGGACAUGAUAGUUUUAUCUGUGGGGCAUUGGUUUUUACACCGGGCAGUGUACUAUUAUAAUGGUACCAUACUAGGUUGCCACUACCGCUCUGAUCAAAAUUGCACUGAAAUUGGAUUCUAUGAUGUUUAUGGCAAGGCAUAUCAAACAGCCGUUAAUUCAAUAAUUGACAGGAAGAGAUCAUCUAGUUGCAAUGCAACUGAUGUUUUUGUAACUACAUUUUCACCUGCUCACUUCGAAGGGGAAUGGGAUAAAUUUGGGGCGUGCCCCAAAACAAAGCCUUAUAAUGCAAGUGAAAAGAAGCUAGAAGGGAUGGACGCAGAAAUGAGAAAUAUAGGGAUUAAAGAAGUUAAGGCAGCAAGAGAAAAAUCUAAGAAGUUUGGUAGCUUGAGAUUUGAGUAUGUAGAUGUGUCUGCAUUAUCUUUCCUUAGAGCAGAUGGCCAUCCAGGGCCGUAUUUGUAUCCUUUUCCAUUUGCCAAUGGAAUUAAAGAUCGUGUACAGAAUGACUGUGUGCAUUGGUGUUUACCAGGGCCUAUCGAUACAUGGAAUGAGAUUUUGUUAGAAAUCAUGAAAAGACGGGAAACUGAAGUUUAGUAGAUAAUGGUAAGAUCAUACUGUUCUUGAAAACGAAUGUGCAGUGCGUUCACUAUCAGAAUGGUUUUUUCAGUGCUGUCCUCUUCCAUUUGCGAGUGAUUACUGGCCGCCAUGAGAUCAGGAAAACAGAAUGAGAAAGGGUAAUGUAGAGAUAUCGGAGUUGUUUUGUACAGCACAUCAUUUGGAGCGUGGCAAUUUGUGACUGAUUUUCUACCUAACAUAGGACGCUUUUACAGUCAAACUUUUGUAAUUUUUAACAUGCUCCUGGCCUCCUCAUAAGGUGAAAUAACAUUUACAUAGGGAUAGAAAGAUACAGUGAUUAUAAUGGUUCACUACAUUCUCCAUGUAACCCACGAAAGCGAAGCGUCAUGUACCAUGUAUUUUGCCUACCACUUUUUUUUGUCAUUUGGAUGAUUUUGCUUUUGAGCCGGCAUACAAAAGCCAAAAGGAGAUGUGAAAAGGUCAAGGAACUAUUUAAGAGGACAAUAAGAAGGAGCAAGAUCACGUAUUUGUGGGUUAAUUAUUCUGCAUGCCAAUAGGUCAAAUGCUGGAAAAAAAAAAAAGAACAAGGAAUGGAAAUGGAGUUCUGCUGACCUCUUUUCAGUUGUCUGAGUACUCUCUUUGCUCAUGUAAAGCAGUAAAACUCCGAAUUGUUUGAUGCGGUAAAGGAAAUGACAAAAAUAAAAAAAAAAUUGAAAAAAAAAAUCCCAUGGGGUCAUCCAAAUAAACAAUAAAAUAAAAAGAACAAGAAAAACUCUGGGACGUUUCCAUAAUAGGUUUAAGGAGAACCCUAUAGUGCAUUUAUAUGUAACAAACCUGUUUUUGAUUUAUAAGAAGAAUCCACAAUUUGAUAAUAAAGAACAUGGAAUUUACUGAAUUAGCAAAACCUCCCGCUGCCUAUUGUUAAGGAUUGAUUAAUAUUUGCUGCUACAGAAGUCUAUCCAUUUGUCCAGUUCAGACUUCAGACUCCAUACCUCAUCUGAUCUCCCUUUCCACUGCAAAAUCAAUCUCAACUCUGCAACUUCUAAGUGCUCUUUCUUCAAUGGCAAUCGCCUCCACAUCCUAUCUUCCCAUAUACUUGGGCACCCAGCCUCAUUCCCACCACAACCUCUAUCACAUCCCUCACUUCAGAACUCAUCAAAAUCCAAUCUUUACCCCAAAAAGGACACACCCUUUUGUCGUCUUCCCUAAACACACAGCGUUCAAUAUCAUCUUCCCACUUUCGACCUCCCAAUCUUCUUUUUCUUCCACCUCUUCUACGCCGACCCUCCAGAAUGCACUUCAAACAGGGCGAUUUCUUACUAAUGAAGAGCUUGAAAAGCUUCAGUUUCUUGAGAGUUAUAGGUAUUUUCAGGAAUUAAAAUCUGGGUUUUUGUACAUAAGAAUGAUGGAUCAAGAAGAAAUGGAUAUGACGGUUAGUUUAUUGUCCGAGACUUUUGCUGAAUCCAUGUUGUUGCCUAAAGGGUAUGUCCGAUUCUUGGAGUAUUUGGUGAAGCAGUAUCUGAUUGAGAGGAGGACUUUAAUGCCUCAUACUGCAACACUAGUCGGUUUCUAUAAGGAGGAUGAAGAGGAGGAUUUACAGUUAGCUGGGACAGUUGAGGUGUGUUUCAACAAGAAGGGUGCUAAUGCUUCUCCUCCUACACCUACUCCUCCCAAAAAUUCUCCAUAUAUAAGCAAUAUGACUGUAAAGGAGUCACUUAGAAGGUAUAACUUUGAAAUUUUAAAUUGUUACUCUUUCUAUUAUAUGUGGAUGACAGAAAAUUUAUAACAAACCAUCCAUGGAGGGCAGCAGAGAAACUCACUUUUUAGUAUUUCUCCCCUGUUGUCUGUAUAAUUUCGUAAUUUUCAACAAAAAAAAAAAAAAGAAAUAUCAGCUAGAAAGGGUUAGGUGUUCCUGUGUAAAAACACCAACACAAUGGGAUUGGUUUCUCCAGUAAAUGAUAUUCCUUGACUUCCUCUGAGUACGUGUUGAAUUUUGAAAGACCUUUUGCACCUUAUAUUGACAAAUGUUUAAACUUUACCGUCUGCAUUAAGGCAGCAACUUUGCAUAUCCUACUUGCACUGCAAAGAUAAGCAGUAUAUCCUGGGGGCUGUUAGUUUCAUUUGUCUUGCCAUUGCAUCGGUGUCUUGCUGUGUUGUGUUGCUGUUGUUUGAUGACUAUAACUUAAUUGUUUCAACAUUAUUGUGAGUGAAAGUUGAAUUCAAAUUUUCAGGAGGGGCAUUGGAUGGCAUUUAUUGAAAGCAAGUGAGGAAUUGAUUGCUCAUAUGACUUCCUCGAGGGAUGUUUACUUACACUGUAGAAUGAUUGAUGAGGCUCCUUUGAAUAUGUACAUAAAAGCAGGAUAUAGCAUUGUCAGGACAGACAACAUCUUAGUCCUGCUGACAUUGCAGAGGCGUAAACACUUGAUGUGCAAGCAAAUUCCAGUCUUGACUAGCCCUUCUGAAAUGGAUACUUACAGCCAGGAACCUUAUUCGUAAAUGGAGAGUCAAAAUGAUUUUGUACUUUUUGAGGUAUUAAAGCGUUCCGACUUAAUUGCCUUCGUUAGAGAAACCCAUCGUGCAUACUUGGUUUCUUUCCCUAGCUUUUGCUUGCUGUUAUUGAAAUUAUAAUUGCAUCUUCCUGGCAGAUGCUUGUAAGUCAUCGGACCUUUUGUAACAUAACUCUAUUAUAUGAUUAAAAUCUGUUCAGGUGACUCUACUUGUUCUUUUUUUGGUUUCUUUAAUUGAUUCUGCAUUUAUUGCCUGCUUUAAUUUUGAUAAUGAUAAUCAUUAGAUAGGUUUAGAUUGGAAGGCCAACUAGAUUUUCCUAGCUGACUUUUUGAUGAUUUUAUUAUUGAGUUUCAACCUUUUGCUCAUAGCUAUUUCCACUAAACUUUAUUCUGACAUUCUUGUCAAACGAGCUGUUUGCUUUUAGAGCAUGUUUCUUUUUUACUCUUUCCUGCUUGCUGGCUGACAAGCAAGUGAAACCUGGAUUCUUGAACUUGUUAACAUGUUAAAUCUACCAUUCAUAUGUGAAACUCCAGUCCUGUAAACUUCUUAUUUACUGCUGAACUUGUUUAACUACUCUCUGGACAACCUGAAGAACAUUGUGGAACCUAUAAAGCAAGUGACAAUAUGCGAACUAUUUGGAAGCCGAUAGCUCUUGUUAACUCUUCUGGUCCAUAUAUUUCAUAGAAGGAUAUUAUGUACUUCUGUUUGAAGGUUAAUACAGUUCACUUCAAUAUUGUUUCCCAUGACAAUCCGUGAAAGGAUGUUAUGGAAUAGUUCUCUAUUAUACAUAAGGAAAAGACGAGCAAUGUCUCAGAUUUUAUUCACAUUGUUGUACAAAUCUUCAAAUUACACGAGAGAAAUACCUUAUCAGAAAAUGGUGAAGCUAAAAGAGGAAAAAAAAAGAAGGAAAAAUAUGACACCUGAUGCUUCCGGCUGUCUAUCAGAAACUCUUUUUGAGUCAUUAAAUUAUAAAAAUACCAUCUUCCUUCAGACACCUAUGAGUAUGUUUAUCAUAUAUGACCAAUCAAUAAACUGAGGGUUGCUUGUAAAAAUCUUAAGAAUUUCUUGAACUUUGAAGAUUCUAGGUUGCAGUACAGUCUUCUUAGCUGGAAGAUCAUUUACACGGUGUAUCAUGAUGCAUCUCUAAUUUUUGUAUGAAAAAGAUUGUUGUUUGUUUAAAUCAUUCUGAAAGUAUGCAGUGUCAUCCCUAGUCCCCUUGAAUUUGUGUAGACAAUUAGUUGGAGCUCCUUAACGCAUUCUAUCAUUGAGGGCCGUUCAGUACUGUCAAUUCGUACACAGCGCGAUGCAAGGCUAGCAAACAUGGCUAUAGACUCCAUUGUAUAUGAAUUCCUGCUCAUAUCUGGAUCAAUUAUCUUGCGCAACCUCUUUUUAUCAUUCAAUAUGUGCCUAACCUGCAGCACCCAUGAAGCAGCUAUUAGGCUUUUAUGGAGAUAUUUUGAACUGUUUUUGUCAUGUCAUGACCAUGACAAUGAGCAUUUGCUGUUACCUGCAGUACUAAGUUCUGAUCAUUUGGUCCUUGGUUCAGGUCAACUGCUCUCCGUCCAGUCAAAAGCUCUAGCAGAACCACUCCAAAUGCAUAAACAUCACUUUGUAAAGUGAGUUUUCCUGUCUGUUGCCAAGGUAGAUAGAUCCAAGGCUCAGUCCUUGUUGCCAAUUAAUGAAACCAAGUAAGAACCAACCCUUGAUAGUAUUACUUUCUUAUCUCAUAAGUUUUCAAAGGAAGGAAAAAGAAAGGCGUAAAUCCCUUGUUCAUUGUAGAAAAAACGCAGAUACAUAAGAUCAAGGUGGCAUGGGAAACUGCAUUAAUCUGUAUACAAAAGACCGGAAAAUAAAUAAAACAUCCUUGUAACAGAAUUGCUAAUUUAAAUGUAUGUUUUUGUAAUUGAGGUGGGAAUGGUGAAAUAAGAAAAGAGAACAAGGCUUGGAGUCUCCCUUUGGACCAAGAAACAAAAAAUUAGAGGGGGCAAUGGGGAAAUAAGAAAAGAAGAAAGAAGAUGAUAAGCGAAUAAUCACAAUAAUUGCCGCCUACUUGGCUUCUGAAAUUCUGUUUCUGCUUAUUCUUCCUUUUAAUUGCACUUCUGUGUGCUUUUGCAUGAUGCGUUUUUAAGUGAAAAUAAACAGUUAGGGUUUGUCUCGGAACACUUUAUUAUGCAGUUAAAAGAAUUUAACUGUUGCAAGGCUGCUAGUUUAUUUUUUUCUAUCUUUUGAUCGGUUGAAAGUAUCUUCCAAGUUUUUGUUUAAAUGGUUGUGGCAUUAAGUUCUGAAACAGGAAUUAUGAACAUGAAGUGGUUAAAGCCUAUUGUUUUCUAGUGUUGAUAGAAGAGAAAUCAGAAAAAUCUCGAGUUCUAGUUUUCUAGUGCUGAUAUCUUAUAUAAUGAAGAGAAAUUCCUAUUUUCAUUUAUGGAGAAUAGAAGAUAAAAUUUGUAAUCCUUUGUCUUUAUGGAUACGUACCAACGUAUAUUCUGGAUCAAAGUAGCCAAAAGUACCCAGCACUCUUGCUGUUACACAGGUUUCCUGGCCCUCUGGCAUCAACUUUGCAAGUCCAAAGUCUGAAAUCUGCAAAAACGCCAGAACUUGCAACAAUUGUUAUAUCAUAAAAGCACUUCCUACGAAUCAUGCUGGAAUCUUUUGGAGAUUUUUAUGAAGUGGAUGUACCUUGGCUUCAAAGUUGUUGUCUAGCAGGAUAUUGGUUGAUUUGAAGUCUCGGUGUACAAUGGGAAUUCCGACAGCAGAACUGGAAUGGAGAUAUGCAAGUCCUCUUGCUGCUCCAAGAGCCACUUUGAGUCUCAAAGGCCAAUCCAUCUUCAGUUCUCCAAUACCUGGAAGCUGUUGUAAGACUAAUACAUCUUCAAGCACAAAAGUUUAGAGAAGUAGUGCAGAAUUCACAAACAAACAAACCGUUCAAGUGAUCUUGCAGAUUCCCUCGUGGCAUAUAUUCAUAAACCAAGAACCUAUGCUUCCCAUCUGCACAAUAGCCUAUUAAAGAUACAAGAUUGGGAUGGUCCAAUCUGCUUAAGAUAUCAACUUCCACCCGGAAUUCGCGCUCCCCUUCUGCUGCUUUAAAUGACGGUAGGUCCAUUUUCUUGAUUGCUACAAUCUGUGACUUGAAAAAAAUAUUCUUAUAAACCAUACUUUUUGGUCUUCCUCUUUCUUCAUUUGUUUUCAACUAUUGUUGUGAACUUGAAAGAUCGAACUCCAAUUGGACCACCAAUUUUAUGUGAAAAAACAUAAUACCAUGGAUGUGCACGAGCAAUUUUGCCUAGAAAUUUUUUUUUUAUGUUUUAGCAAAUGUACCUCUCCAGACCGUAAAGUACCCUUGUAGACUCGACCAAAUCCUCCUUUCCCAAGUAGAUUUUGUUCACUGAAAGAAUGUGUUGCCUCUUCCAUUUCUUUAAGCGUGAAAACUGCUGAUCCAUGGUGUCUUUUUGCAGGUGGAGCGCUGCCCUCAAUUUUCCAACAUUCCACUGGUUUAUACACCCCUGAAAAGGAAAAGCAGAAAUUAAAGAAUUGAUGGCCAAAAAAGCAAGUGAAUUGCAUGGGUGCAACAACUAAGUUGUAACGCAACAGGAGUAGAAGAACACGAGAUAUUAGAAACUGAAACAUACAAGGAUUGAUGUGAUCUUCAGACUUGCUUCUGCGGCGCUUAUUCCACGCUGAAACCAAACCGAACGGCAUGACAACUCUUGCUUAAGAUGAUCUCCAGUUUGUGGAUUGAAUAAAGCACGCAUUCAGUUGAAGAGUGAAGGGCUAUACUCAUGGCAGUCUAUGCUAUGCAACAGGAAAAGGAGAAUGAGAACUUACAAAGCUGGCUCACAAAAAUAUGGAGGAAGAGAAGUUAAGAUGAUGGUCAUUACCUCAUUAUAGACUGGUUGGUGUUGAACCGGAGUCGUGCUGAUUAUACAGAUUGAGAGAAUUGGAGAAGGAUAUUAAGUAUAAGCAGAAUUUGAUACUAUGUAGCAUCAGAAUCCUGUAGGAGUGCGUACAAAGCAACUGAACUGAGAGACUAGCUUUGAGAAAUACUCAAAAAAAUGUAGUAAUACCAAUCAGCCAACAACCUGCAAAUCUCACUUGAUGAACAAGAAAAAGUAAACAAAGGAAUGAAUAAAAUGGCCAAACCGGUUGCUUACCUUUGAUAGAGGGGGGUGGUGUGGUGUGGUGGGGUAAGGGAGGUACCUCUGAAAAGGAAAGAGGAGCUGCAGCCUCACCUCCUUACGAUUUUGUGUGACUUGGGAAAAGAUUGUUGUUGUUGUUUCCUUUUCAUUUUGAUUACUUUCUAAUCUUUUAUAUGAUUUACCUGUGUUGCAAUUAGAAUUUAGUAAGCAAGAAAAAGGGCUGUUUUAUGCUGUUAGUGGUUUGAAAAAGGACGUUCAUGACAAUUGUUGGCGAGUCGUCGUGUGAGAAACUAAGGUCUUGUUUGGAUUGCAUUUUUUUGGAUUUUUUGUAGAAAAAUUACUGUAACGAUUUUAUGUAUGUGAGGUAAAAAGGUAAUUGGAAGAUGUGUUCGCGGAAAACGUAACAAUUUUUUUUGGAAAAAUGGCAAUCGAAACACACCCUAAUAUUGUGUGUUUGUUUAAGAUAUGGAUGACAUAUCCGAUUCAACCAAAGCACGGCAAGAAACUUUGAUGCCUCUGCAUGACUUUCUGGAUUAAUUGCUUCCAGCAAUCAUUAACAAAAAAAAAAUUAAAUAAAUAAAAAUUAUACCUCUUUCAUUACCUACCGUCGUCAGCUUAAAUUCUAACCCAAAGAAUACAAGUGUAUCUUGGAAAAAGUUUACUCAAAAUCCAACAGGGCAUCUUAAAAAAGAAAAACAAAAUAUCUAAAAUGUAGAAUCGGAUUCAACAGUUAUUUCCAUGCACUAGAGAGAGUGUGUUUUUUCUUCUUUUUUUUUGGCUGUUUUUUAACUUAAUGAACUAUAAGUAUGAUUUGUAGUAUUUUUUUUUUAAAAAAAAAAAAGAAGAAGAAGCAUGAUUUGUAGUAGAGUAAUAAUCUCAAUAGCUUCAAAAUGGGAUCGAGAUAACACCCAAAAUUAUGAUCGCAACUAACAUGCAUCUCUCUUUUAAAAAAAAAAAAAAAAAAAAAGAUAGCAUCUCUUAACAAAUUGGUACAAGUAAUUUGUAGUGAAUUAUAUGAUAUACUAAUAUCGGAUCGAAAAUGUAUUGCGAAAAAUGGUGUUUGAUUUUUCUUGGCAGUUCCAAGGCCGACGUCAGUGCUUACUUAGUACCGGAGGUGGCAGUAGUGCAGCUCAGCUGUUGAGCCUUGUUUAUCUUGAUUGUUGUUAGCUACGGGCCUUUGUUUGGGCUUGAGCGAUUUGAGCUGCAUCAUGAGGCCGCGUAUGGAUUGGUGUACUUUAAAGCCCGGCCCCGCUUAAUAUUUUCUAUUUUGGAGAGAGUUUACAUCUCUAUCGCUAUUAUUGUGUUAUCCGUGAAACAAUCCAUUCAAGCCAGUGAAUUAAUUCCGGUCCCAUGAACUAAGUAAUAAUCUAAUUUACGUUAAAAUUAGUCCCGCGAAGAGAUAACGUAAGUGGUCUACCUUUGUGGAAACUGUGGAUCCUCCUCAUCCUAGAUUGCCUGAGAGUAGUGAAUUUUAAUUUCUAAGCAAAAUGCCUUCUUUUUUUUUUUUAAAAAAAAAAAAAGGAACCGCAGAGCCAUUAAUUAAUUUGUGGGACACCACUCUGCGUCUAUCCACUUUUGUGGGCAUCUUUAUUGCUGGCACUACUAUUAAAAGGGCGGACCGCUGUGGUAAUAAAAAUGAAUUUCCCAAACCCAUACCGAUGAGAGGCCAGGAAUUCAAUGUUCCCUUUGAAUGGAUCAAUGAAACUUCAAUAACAAAAUUGAAGAGUUUCAACUGUUUUGGUUAAUGACUUGGACGUUUGGGAUGGAUGUUUCUUCCAGAUUUGACUCAUAACAGAUUCUUUUCUAACUGCUGUUCACAAAGAAUAACGUGCCCAUGAGGAAAGGAAGCUCCAAACCAGUGCUUAGAAGAGUAGACCAACCAUAACGGAAGGACAAAAUAAAUCAGGAAAUUUUUUUUAUGUCAUAGAUUGGUGUUGUACGUCAAAAUUAAGCUAACGGUUCAUAUUGAAUUGUCAGUUGUGACUCACACAAGGACAAGGACUUUUCAUUUUCCAUAUGUAAUUAAUUCCCUUUAUCACAAACUCUCUGGUGAUUUGAGUGAAGAUAGAUAGAUGGCUUAGCCCGCCAAGGCCCCCCUCCUUCUCUUUCUCUUUCUUGUCUGGGUACGAAGAUGGAUGCAUUUAUUAUUAGUGUUUCUCUAUAGAGUCGUUUGAAAAGAAAUGUGAUGGUAAGAGUGUUAUCAUUUCCAAUACUUUUGCUAUAAGCAGCUUAAAAUUGGCUCUUUUAAAAGAAAAAGCACGUAAAUGGGCAAUUAUAAGUUUCAGAUCUUGAAUAAUGGCUUUGGUUUCAAGAUCGGUUGGUUAGGUUAGCUAAAAAGUUGAAGAGAAGUGAAGGAAGAGUUGUAGCUUUUGCAAUAUUGCCAUGAUCGGAAUAUUUUGUUUCACUUUACUUCCUAAUACGAUAGUGGCAUAUUCUAAGAAAAUAUUAGUGUUGUAAUGAAUAUCCAUCACUGACUUUUCCUUUGGACUUUGAAUCAGUUAAACAGCUCAUAACAAACAAACAAAAAAUUGAUUGUUUACGUUUUCAUUCACUUGAAUUAUUACUCUUGCUUCAAAUUGCCCAGUGAAAAUUUCCCUAUUCAGCCAGAAGACUAUAGACACCAUCAUUGUUACAAGAAACGUAACGUAAAGAAACACUCGACAGAUUUAUUCACCCAUUACCAUUAGUAAGCCUUGAAUGGUAACGGUUGCCGUAAAGAAAUAAAUACAUGUUACUGCUAGGAAGGCAUGGAAGUGUGCAAAUCUCAUAGUCUGGUCGCUGGUGACUGGUGAGUGGUGGCAGAUGAAGUAGACGGCUAGCUUUUAAUGGCCAAUAUGAAAAAUGGGGGCCAUUCAAGACAUUGAUUUUAGUACUACUAUUCAGUACUUGCCUCUAUAUAUAUAUAUGCCUGCUUCACCAAGGUUCUUGCACAGCUCAGUCUUCUAAAGCUUGCUCUUCACUUUCUUUGUUAGUCUAUCAAUUACUAGUACACAACAAGAAUCGGGAAUGGCAGCGAAACUAGAUGUGGAAGUGGAGGUCAAGUCUUCAGCAGAUAAGUUCUGGGAUGCCAUCAUGGACUCCGUUGCUCUUUUCCCCAAGGCCUGCCCUAAUCAGUACAAGAGCAUUGAAGUUCUUGAAGGUGAUGGAAAAUCAGUUGGCUCUGUUCGUUUGGUCAAGUAUGCUGAAGGUAAUUAAGCGGUCGACUUAUAUGUUAGUAAAUAAUAAGUAGGACAACUUUUGGUUACUCUUGGGAUAUUCCUUUCUGCUUGUCUUUUUAGCUUUUUCCCAAAUCCAAAUUUUAUAGGGACCAGACGCUUUUCAUGGAGUAAUUAAUUGGUCAAUGCUAAAAGGCUAAAUUUGGUGUAAUGCUUAUUUUAUUCACAAUUGCAUGGUAUGUUCACUGAUUAAACUCCAUAAUGGUUGUUAAUUAUACAUCAUGAACUUAAUGGUCAUCUCUUGAUGUCCGGCACAUUAUGUCAUUCUUCCCUGGUAUUCAUUGUUAUAGGAGGGAUGUAUUUGGCUAGGCGAUUAAUUGCAGAAGGGUGGGGAUAAAGAAUUCUGGUCUGGCGAUUUCUUGGAGAGAAUAUGCAUCUACUUAGAUUAAAUGUCACUGAAAGUUCUUAAUAUAAAUCUGCCGCUGUAUAGGAUCCCCGGAAAUUACUUUCUCGAAGGAGAAGAUUGAAUUUGUCGACGAAGGGAACAAAACUGUGAGGUACAGUGUGAUCGAGGGGGAUCUCUUGAAAUUCUACAAGCUUUUCAAGGCCACCCUGGUCGUGAGUCCAAAGGGUGAUGGGAGCUUGGUGAAAUGGAUUUGUGAGUUUGAGAAGACAAGCGAUGAAAUUCCAAACCCAGACAUCAUCAAGGAUUUUGCAGCCAAGAAUUUCCAGGAGCUCGAUGCUUAUCUCCUCAAGGCAUAGAUGGAAUUCUCUCUCAUAGGGUCCAUUUAAUAAUCCUGAAAUCUUUUCUUUCUCCUUUCUCUGAAAAAUAACCUGCAGCCCCACCCACCUUGCAGUGUACGGGUUAAAUGAUGCUGUCACAUUAUGUAGUUUGCCAUAAUAUUAAUACAACUACUAUGUAAGUUUUUUUUUUUGGGGAGCUUAAUGUAAAAGGUUUCAGUACUCUGUUUUCAUCAAUGUUUUAAUCCGACCAUAUAUCUUUCCUUUUUGGGAAACAAACCCAUUGGAAUUCUUCAUCAAUUAUAAUAGCUACAUGCUUUUUCGGGUUACAAAUUCUACCCGUAAUAAAAGUAAAAACAUUUACCAAGAAGUAAAAACCUUACUACUUGUUACUCCACAAAAAAUGCAUGGAACGAAAAUCACCUCAAAUUCUUAUGUACAAUCUUUCUUUCUUUUUCUUCUUUGUACAACAGUUCUGGGCAUAUGAUACAUCCAUUUACAAGCUUCAGAAUUGAAUUUCCCACUACUUGUGAGAAAAGAAAAGGCCUUUUCUAUUUUCGGUUUUUUUUUUUUUUUAAAAAAAAAAGAAAAAGGAAACGAUGAACAACAACAUGUUCAUUGUUCCACUCGUACCUUUUUGUGUUUCUAAAAUACACCUUUCCAACAGGAUUGAUUUGUUCAAAAAAAUUAAUUAAUUAAUUUUGCAGUGAUUUUUUAUUUCUGUACCAGUUUUGCUACUUAGGCACUCUUCAUACUUGUGAGUCUUCUUGCUGCAGAAGCGGGGUCUUCUGAUCAUCAGAUGGAGAACUCCUGCUCUUGUGGUUUUUAAUGCCCGCUUCAUCAUAACUGAUGAUUUGUCCCCAAAUCAGGGUGUAGUGACCCAAUCCGCAUGCCAAAGCUCCUAUGAUGCUGCACGAUCACGUUAUUCACUUAACUCGAUAUAUGUGUGGAUAACAAAAAUUAUUUUAUGCUAAUAAUUUAGAAGAGGGUUUUCAAGAUUUACGGAUUCACAAAAUGUGUUUUUUUUUUUUUUUUUGGAAUUUUUGUACUAAGGUUGGGUGUUUACUAGUCACUUGUUAAAAGAGACUCCUGUUAAGUGAGACAUUAUAUAUUAAUUUUUAAAAAUACAAUUAAUUUGGAAAAUUGCCAAAUAUAAAAUGGAAAACAGUGAAGUUAAAUGUAAUCUAAAUAUAUAUAAACAAAUGUCCACUAAACACUUGUUUUAAAAAUUCUCGUGAAAUUAAACGUUUGAUCUUACAUGGUACUUCUUCAUUAAUGUUGCUCUGAACUUUUUGCUUGUAAUUUAAAUUUUAGAAGCUCUGCACCCAUCGACGGUAACUUAACCAUGAAAUCUUCAACGUAAUUUUUCGUCUACUAGCAAAUUAUAUGGUACAAAGCAAAUAAAGAGCGAAGAUACUGACAUUCUUUUUCCUUGCUCCUUUUUUGGAUAACGAGUUUCAAGACAAAAUUUUCUCGACAUAUUUUUCAAUCAUUUUUUUACCUUACAUACAUUUUUCUACAAAAACUUAUAGUCCAAACAAGUUCUUGGCUUCCGCCAAUAAACAAGAAUUCGUUAUACGUUUAAAAGAUUAAGGGAAUAAAUAGGGGUAAAAAGAAAAAAAAAAAGUGUAAAGGUAAACAGAGGAAGCUACUACCUCCAUUAGUGAAAUGUAUCUGCAAAUAGGAAACAGCCAAACAUGCUUGCAAUGGGAAUUCCCACUGGCUUGAAUAUAGAAGCAAAAAGAGGGCCUUUUUUCUGCAUACACCAGAGGUGGACGCUGCUACGGAUUACACUCCCAAAAAUACCCUGUAAACAUGCGUCAAAAUAUUUGCAUGAUUGGCAGGAAUUUUCUAAAAAAAAAAAUGCAAUAAAAUGCGAUUUGGAAGAUGCAAAUGUAAAAUAUACUUACUGUUAGAAUAAUAACGAGAAGCUCCAUGUCAAGCUUUAAUUUCCAAGCAUCGACAUCUCUUUCUAUGAUUACCGAAAGUAUGGCAGACAGGAGGGUCCCGACUAAGCUAUAAAAAGAAACUAUUUUCAUGACAUGUGGGUAUUUUUCGACAGUUCCCACCUGACCCAACAACAAAAAAAAUGAAAUAUAACUACAGUCUAAUGUGAUCAAUUGUUUAGUAGCAAGAUAGAAAGAAAAGCAGUUAAAAAUACGUCUAUGGAUAUCAAAUUUGGUGUAUACUAGUAUAAGCUUAAUUGUUAGAGAGAAUAUAUAUAGAUGAUGGAUUUCACCUUACUACAUUAUAUAACUAAGCGAUAGUAAUAUUGGCUUUGUUCUCGUUGCUUUAGAUUCUGUAAAAUUGAUUAUGGAAAAUAAUUAUAGAGAAUAAUUAAAGUCAGUAAAAGUUACUCUUUGAUGGAUUAUGCAUUUUAGCUUGUUUAGCUAUUAAAGAAAUCUAUAAUCUGAAUACAAAAUCAAACGGUAACAUCAUAAAAAUUGAUUUUUUAAAAUCAAAUUCUAUAAUUAAAAUAUAACAACUGAGAACCAACCCAUUAAGAGUCUGUUUGAUAACUCUACUUUAUAUUGAAAAUUAAUUCAUUUGGUGUUUUCUAAAUUCAGCAUAUUUGAUAACAUAAAUGCCUUACCACUUCAUGUAUUAAGCACUCUUGAUUUGUAUACAAAAUUUUAAGUAAAAAAGUUUCAUUGAAUUUCUUUUGAAUUCACCACACAUACUAUACCUCACACACUCAUAAUACAUUCUCAUACUAUUCUUGCAUAUGGUACAGAUUUGUUUUCUUUAUAUUCGACACACUCGUAUGCACACACACACACUCUCUUAUAUAUAAAUACACACAUUUAAACACUACCUCUAAAUUAUUUUAUUAUUUUCUCUCUUCCACACAUAUGCAAAUUUUUCUUUUUCUCCAAAUACACAAAUAAAGAUAAUUUUUUUUGAAAGUAGAAACACAUUAUUUGUGCGAUAUUUCAAUUCAAUAUUGUAAUCUAGUUAGUUAUUAAACACGUGUAAUUUAAAUAAUUCAGCACUUAAUUUUUAGAAUUCAAACUUCAAUUUUAUCAAACGGCCCUAAAUCUUUAGCUAGGUCCACACAAAAGUUCUCGUGUAUCAUCUUUUAUCGAUGGAAAAAUGCUUAUAAAGGGGAAAAAAAAGAAAGAAAAGAAGUGACAAAGAAGAAAAUAGCGAGGUUACUCGUGCUUGCACAUGUAUGUACCUGAAUAAUAUUCCAAACUGAAAUUGCUAAUGAAGCAGCUGCUAAUAAAACGCAACCGAGAAUCCAAUUCUCAUCCUGCGGUGAGGAAAAGAUUAAAAGUGGCGGUGGAAUUAGCUGCAGUGAAAAUGAGGGCAGCGGAGACUGCUUGACCACAGGGCCCCUGUAGAGAGCGACCGAUGUUGCUCCCACAAAUGAAAUCACGGUGCCAUCGCUUUCACUUGACUGCUCAAGCUUUUCCAAUCAUUUUCCUUUCUUCUGUGCGGAUGAAUUCACUUAGCCACACUACCAAACAAAAACUCGAAAAUAAUUGCUUUAAAUUCAUUAAAGCGGACCACUGAACUUUCCCCUAUGAGUAUUGAGGGUGCUCACCUCGGCAGUACCUUGUUGCCGAGGUGACCUCGUUUCGUCUCUACACGAACACAUUCAUUCCCCGAUCCGGACCCUGAGCUCGGCUCGGUCCAUGGUCUCCUACUUGGAUGACCUCUGCACCCCUGGCUGUCACCUCGGCUAGACGCUGAUGAUGUCAACACCCCUGACGACACCCAGGACCAGUGCUUUAUCUGAAAAGCACUGGGUGAUCUUAAUGACUGCUGCGCAGGACCCCGUCAUCCGACCCAGGCGGCUACAGUGUCAAAGCCAGGCCUCCUGGCAGGGAACAGAGCCGUAAUGUCAGGACAUGGGUCCCACCGGCAUGAACCCUCCGUCCUGACCUCCACUCCCACUCUAUAAAUACCCCUCCUGUACAUUUCGCAAGUAAGCAGACUGUUCAUUUGACAAUACUACUGCUUUUCUCUCGUUCUCACACUAACUUGAUCGUCAGAGUGAUCCCAGGGGAGAAGCCCCGCCAUUCACUUCGGACACACAGAUACCACU
RNAcentral lists this long non-coding RNA (50741 nucleotides) under Coffea arabica (coffee). Its description in RNAcentral is "long non-coding RNA (CARA_LNC007973)". Lineage: Eukaryota; Viridiplantae; Streptophyta; Magnoliopsida; Gentianales; Rubiaceae. The record is from RNAcentral.